This 55313-nucleotide long non-coding RNA is filed under the name Gossypium raimondii (Peruvian cotton). RNAcentral's name for it is "long non-coding RNA (GRAI_LNC006009)". The record is from RNAcentral. Lineage: Eukaryota; Viridiplantae; Streptophyta; Magnoliopsida; Malvales; Malvaceae.
UGCAAUCCAAAAUUGAACAAGCGCUUGUACUUUAAUUUUGUAAUCUUUUGGAUACAAUCGGCAAUAAGCAAAGCAAUGCUUCAAAUGAGACGGGAGAUGAUCAUAACUCAAUUUCAGUAUAGGUAGAAUUUCUCCUUCAAUUUGUGAAAUUGUAGCAAGUUCAUUUUCUUUGAAAGAAUGCCACUCAUUUGCAGUUUUCUUCAAAGAUAAUGUACCAGCUAUCGUCCUUAUGGCUAAGGGAACCCCACCACACCUUUCCGAAAUCUGUCUCCCUACUUCCACAAAGGCUGAAUUUGUUGAGUCUGCAUGUCCUUGCUCAAAUGCUAUCUUUUUGAACAAAGACCAAGCAUCAUCAUCAGACAAGCCUUUCAAUUUCAAAACAUGGGAUUGACAUUUAUUAGUUAUCUCCGCUACCCUUAGAGAUCGAGUAGUUACUAUUAUCCUACUCCCUUUAGCCCCACCCACCAAUAACUUCUUUAGCCUAGACCACUUUUCUGGGUCCUCAUUCCAAAUGUCAUCCAAAACAAGCAAAUAUUUUUUCCCAUCAAUUUUAUCUCGAAGUUGUUUUUGCAAUUGAUCCAUUUCAAGAUUUUGAUCAGGUGCAUGAUGAGUCACAGAUUUGAUAAUGUUUGCUACAAUAGCUUUCACAUCAAAAUCAUCUGAAACACACGCAAACAUCGUUAAGUCAAAAUGAUUUUUGACCAUUUCAUGGUUAUAGACAAGUUGGGCCAAAGCAGUCUUCCCUAACCCUCCAAACCCCACAAUUGGAAUGAUAUAAACAUUCUCUUCACUUUGAAACUCCAACACGAGUUUUAGAAGAGCUGCUUUAUCAUCAUCCCUCCCUAUUAUGUCAUCUUCACGCUCAAAAGAGUGCGUUUGCUGCCUCCUUUUAGUCAUGAAAGAGGUUUCCGCGGGGCGAUCACGCGGAAUGAAGCCAAAAGUGUUGGUCUCGCUUUCAAUUGAAGCUAAUCUCGCCUUAAUGGCCUUCAUUUUCCGACCCAUUUUGAGACCAUAAGCAAAUUGGUUUGAGGUUGAGAAGAAAAGGCGUACCUCUUUCGUCAGCUUGUUCCCACCCGAUACAUCUUUCCGCAAAGCUUCAGUAGAGAAAUCAUCGAGCAAGUCGUCGGCAUCAUAAAGUACAUCUUUCAGCUCUUCAAGCCAAACUUUGACGAGAUUGUCGGUCACCGAUUUCUCUUCUGCGUCAAGAAGCACAGCUUUGAUUUGACAGACAGUGCGUUUGAGGUCGUGGAUGUCAUGUUUUAGAUUCCACCACAGCCCAACUUGAGAGAGAGCACGAGAGCUCAACUUAAUAAUGAGCUCUGCGGCAAUGUCGAAAGCAAUUGCUUCGGCCAUUGUUGGUUCAAACUGAAAUCAAUGCAAAAAGUGUUUGAUUCGUGAAAGAGGAGGACUAAUAUGAGAAUGAUUCCAACAAGAUGAAACACAGAUGUGGAUCCAUACACGCGGAGACUGAAGUAUAUUUAUAGAUGUUACCAUCCACCCAGCAAGUAGUAUAAUUAAAUAAAAAGUAAUUUUAAGAGAUUCAUUAAUAUAAUUAUUUGUCUAUGCAAUAUGUCAAAGUAAAAUGUAAGAGGUUGAUUUGGCAUAUCCCAAUAUAUUUUGUUAUAGUUUGGAUGGUCAUUCUUGUCAAGUUACCUAUCAUUGGCAAAGCUUGGUAGAGACUCUUAAAAUGGUAAAUUUUUAAUUUAAACCUUUUAUAAUUUAUAAAAUUUUAAAUUAAUAAUGAUAAAAUUAUAAUUUAAUCCUCUAAAAAUUUAUAAAAAAUUAAUUUAACUCUUUAAAAAUUAUAAAGAUAUACUACUAUAAAAAUAUAUAAUUUAAUUCCGACUAAAAUUUUUUUUAGCUCGGCUACCGUUGCCUAUAAAAGAAAAAUAAAUUUCGUUUUCCACACAAUAUGUGGAGAGAUAUUGGGUUUAUGUCAGCUCCAUGGGAAUGUAUUUUAUUGGAAUUGAAGGAAAAAUCAUUACUUAUACCCUUAUGAAGAUUGCUUCCAAUGCUCAUAUCUAUUUAAUUAUUUUAUUACACAUAAAAUUGUUUAUUGUGAGUUGGAUGCUUUUGGUUUGAUUAUUUAAGAUAUUUUAUUUUUAAAUAUAUUCUUAAUUAUUUAUUUUACAUAUACAUGUAUUUUAACUUAAUAUAUUUAAUAGUGAUUUUGUUUUUUAUAAAAAAAGGACCCAAAGGUACUACCUCAUUUUAAGUUGCAUCAUAAAUUACAAUGUUAUGGAUAUCGCUAGGAUAAUUCAUCCCAAAAGAUAAAUUACAACACUUAGAAAGAGCCCAAUUACAAAGAGAUCGACUAAUUUGUUACAACCACGUUUCACCCAUUUGACCUCGGCGGAAACAAAAGAAUCAAGCAUCUUGUGAGCUCAUUGAUGCAGUGAUCAAGGGUCGUUAUGUCCUCUUUGUGAAAACUAAAGCGGUUGAUAAUGCUAGCACAAUCUGCUUCAAAAAUGACAUUAUCGGCUUCAAAAAAUUGAGCAUGCCGAAAACCAUCAAUGAGGGCAUCUAAUUCUGCUUUAAUAGUGAUUUUUUAUUCUCAUUUUAUCGGUAUAUUUGUUGGAACAUUUUCAAAUAUUUAUAGUGUUCCAAUAACUAUAAAUGAAUUGGUGUAAUUAAUCAAAAGAUUACAUUAUUUGAUUUUUUGAAAAAGAGUUAUAACUAUUUAAAUAAUAUUAUUUGAAUAGAUAUAAAUGAAUAAUUAUGUGUUUAUUUUUAAGACAUUAUUAUUCAGAAAGACACCUAUUGCUGAAGAGACAUGAAAAUUUCUAUAAGUAGAAAUGGGAUUUCAUUUGGAAAACGUACCAAAAAAUUCUAAAUAUUCUUUCUUUCCUUCCUUCAUUUUCUAAUAUUAUUAGAUUAUUCUAUAAAGUAUUACUGCAGAAAUUCUUUGUAGAAAUUGAGUUUUUGAUAUACAUUGCUUAAUGCUUGGUGGACUAUUCUCGUCAGUGCAAAACGCAAAUAGUCAUUGGCUUCAUUGUAUCCUCGAGGUUAAUUUGCUUGAAACUCAUUUGCACACCGAAUAUAGGUGGGGGUGAAUAUAACCUUAAAGAUAGUGGCUUGAUACACGCCUUGGAGCAUUGUCAUUUUUCUUCUUUUUCUGUUCGAGUUCUGUUUGUGUGUUCGAGAUUUUUCUCACUGGAGUUUUGUACUAACAAUUUUAAGGUUAUAAUUCAUGAUGACUACCACAACACAUGAAAGUGGAACACUAAGGGAGUUGGCUUCCAACUUUGUUAAACUUGAUCGGUUUGAUGGUUGUAAUUUUCGACGAUGGUAGAAAAAUAUGCACUUCUUAUUAUCAACUUUGAAGAUUGCUUAUGUUUUGGAUACUCUAAGACCUGAAGAGAAUGAAAACCAAUCUGUUGUUGCAACUUGAGAAAGAUAAAAAUGGGACAAUGCUGACUACAUGUGCAUGGGCCACAUAUUGAAUGGUUUAUCUGAUGGUUUGUUUGACACCUACCAAAACGAGGUCACCGCUAAAGAAUUAUGGGACAAAUUGGAGACAAGAUACAUGACCGAAGAUGGUACAAGUAAGAAAUUUCUUGUCAGUCAUUUCAAUAAUUAUCAAAUGGUUGAUGGUCAUUCUAUUAUGGAACAAUUUCGUGAUAUUGAAAAGAUGUUGAAUCAAUUCAAGCAAUAUGGUAUGAAAAUGGAUGAAAUGAUUGUUGUAUCCUCCAUAAUAGACAAACUUCCUCCAUCUUGGAAAGACUUUAAAAGAAGUCUAAAACAUAAGAAAGAGGAAAUAUCUCUUGAGGCUUUGGCAAAUCAUCUUCGUAUUGAAGAAGAGUAUAGAAAACAAGAUCAAAACCUAAAUUCAGAAAUUGCCAAAGUGCAUGUUACGGAGGAAGUACAGACUACUAAACCAUUCAAGAGAAAGUUUAAACAGACUGAUAGAGCACCAAAGUUCAAAAAGAAACAAAAGGGCUCAUGCUAUCAUUGUGGAAAGCCCGAACAUUUCAAGAAUGAAUGUCGAUUUUUAAAGAAGAAAUCAUCUUUUAAGGCUGAUAAUAACGAAAAAUUCGUUGCAAUGAUAUCUGAAAUUAAUAUGGCACAACAUGAAAGUACAUGGUGGAUUGAUACCGGAGCAACCAAACAUGUGUGCAAAGACAAAAGCAUGUUCACAAAGUUCACACAAUGAAAAAAUGACAAUGUCUUGUACAUGAGAAAUUCUUCCACCGCAGCAAUCAAAGGCAAAGAGUCUGUUGAACUACAAUUCACUUCUGGAAAGGUUUUAACCUUAAAUGAUGUAUAUUAUGUACCAGAAGUUUGAAAUAAUUUAGUGUCUGGAAGUCUGUUGAAUAAGUUUGGUUUCAAACUUGUUUUUGAGGCAGAUAAGUUUAUUUUGUCUAAGGGACGAAUUUUUGUGGGGAAAGGGUAUAUGUAUGAGAGCAUGUUCAAACUCAAUAUUAUUAAUAAAAAUAAAAAUACUAUUUCUACUUAUAUGGUUGAAUUUUUUUGUUUGUGGCAUUAUAGAUUAGGUCAUUUGAAUUAUAGAAAAUUGAAUGACAUGUAUAAGUUAGAUUUAAUUCCUAUUUUUAAUAAUAACAUUGAAAAAUGCAAUACAUGUAUGUUGACUAAAAUUACAAGAAACCCUUUCCCUAAGGUUAAAAGGAAAACAAAAUUGCUUGAUUUGAUACAUAGUGAUUUAUGUGACAUGCAUAAUACUCCUACAUUAGGUGGAAAGAAAUAUUUUGUUACUUUUAUUGAUGAUUGUUCUAGAUAUUGUUAUGUAUAUUUAUUGCAUUCAAUAGAUGAAGCGCUUAAUAAAUUUAAAGUUUAUAAAUCUGAAGUUGAACUUCAGUGUGAGUCAUUUAUCAAGUGCUUAAGAUUAGAUAGAGGUGAAGAAUAUUAUAAUCCAAGUUAUUUUGAAUCCACUGGAAUUGUCCAUCAAGUUUUAGCCCCUUACACACCACAACAAAAUGGUGUAGCUGAAAGGAAAAAUAGAAUCUUAACUGAAAUGGUAAAUUCAAUGUUAUCAUAUUCAGGUAUUGGACAAGGUUUUAGGGCGAAACUGUUCUAACAACUUGUCAUAUAUUGAAUAAAGUUCCUAAUAAGGAAACUAAAAUAACCCCCUAUGAACCAUGGAAGAAAAUGAAACCAAACCUUAAUUAUUUGAAGGUUUUGGGUUGUAGAGCUAUUGUAAAAGUUCCAACACCUAAACGUAAAAAGUUAGGUGAAAGAGGAAUUGAAUGCAUAUUUAUAGGUUAUGCACAUAAUAGCAAGGCAUAUAGGUUCAUGGUAAUUGAACCAAAUGAUUCAAUUUCAAUUAAUAAUGUUAUUGAAUCAAGAUAUGCUAUUUUUGAUGAAAAUAGAUUUAAUUCUAUAUCAAGACAAUUACAGCCACAACAAUUGAUUCAUUCUUCAAAUGAGAAUGAGAUUCCAUUGGAACAAAUUGAUAAUAAUAAUGAAUCUUGUCAAGAAUUAAGAAGAAGUAAGAGAAUUAAAAAAUGUCAAAGAUUUUGGACCAAAUUUUAUUAUGUUUCUUGUAAAAGGAAAAGGUGAAAGUAUAUGCAAUAAGAUACCUUAUUGUUAUAAUACAGAAUCUGAUCCUAUUACAUUUGAAGAGGCAAUGAAAUCUCAAGACUCUGCUUUUUGGAAAGAAGCAAUAAAUGAUGAGAUGGAUUCAAUAAUGGGAAAUCAAACUUGGAUCUUAGUUGAUCUUUCACCAGGUUCCAAACUAAUAGGUUGUAAAUGGAUCUUCAAAAAGAAAAUGAAGGUUGAUGGAACCAUUGAUAAAUUUAAAGCAAGGUUGGUAGCCAAAGGUUUUAUACAAAAUCAAUGUAUUGAUUACUUUGAUACCUAUGCUCCAGUAGCAAGAAUUGCUACAAUUAGACUCUUAAUAUCACUUACCUCUAUAUAUAAUUUAGUUUUUCACCAAAUGGAUGUUAAAAUUGUAUUUUUAAAUGGUGAAUUAGAAGAGGAAGUGUACAUGGAGUAACAGGAAGGAUUUAUUGUUCCAGGACAAGAGCAUAAGGUAUGUAAGCUUGUUAAAUCUUUAUAUGGGCUUAAACAAGCACCAAAACAAUGGCACCAAAAGUUUGACAAGGUUGUUUUAGCUAAUGGCUAUAAAAUAAAUGAAUCUGAUAAGUGCAUAUAUAGCAAAUUUGAAAAUGGAAAAGGUGUCAUAAUUUGCUUAUAUGUAGAUGACAUGCUCAUUUUUUGCACGGAUUUGGAACAAAUAGAAAACACAAAGAAAUUCUUGUCAAACAACUUUGCUAUGAAGGAUAUGAGUGUAGCAGAUGUUAUUCUUGGGAUUAAAAUAACCCGAGAUGAAAGCACUAUAGCUUUAUCACAAUCACAUUACAUUGAAAAUGUGCUUAAAAAGUUUGAUCUUUUCAACUGUAUACCAGCAUCUACACCCAUGGAUCCUCAAAUAAAAUUAGUAUCUAAUGCUAGUAGGAAAAUUGAUCAAUUGAAAUAUGCAAGUCUAAUUGGUUGUCUUAUGUACAUAAUGACUUGUACAAGACCAGAUAUUUCAUAUGUUGUUGGAAAAUUGAGUAGGUACACAAGUAAUCCAAGUAGUUUGCAUUAGCAAGCUUUGAAUAGAGUACUUAAGUACUUAAAGAAAACUAUUAACUAUGGAUUGUGUUAUAACAGAUAUCCUCCAGUUUUAGAAGGUUAUUCGGAUGCUAGUUAGAUUACAAGUUUGGAAGAUCAUGCAUCUACUAGUGGAUGGAUCUUCAUUCUUGGUAGAUAAGCCAUUUCUUGGGGUUCCAAGAAACAAACAUGUAUUACUGAUUCCACCAUGGCAGCAGAAUUUAUUGCAUUAGCUGCUGCAUCUAAAGAAGCAGAAUGGUUAAGAAAUUUUCUUUAUAAUGUACCUUUAUGGCCUAAGCAAAUUUCACCUAUUUCUAUACGUUGUGAUAGUGAGGCUACUCUAGCAAAGGCAUAUAGCCAAGUAUAUAAUGGAAAGUCUAGACACAUUGGAUUAAGACAUAGUUAUGUCCGAUAAUUAAUCUCUGAUGGAGUGAUCACUAUUAAUUAUGUGAGGUCAAGUGAAAAUUUGGCAGAUCCUUUGACAAAAAGUCUUGCUAGAGAUAUAAUAAAAAGGACCUCAAAAGGGAUGGAACUCAAGCCCAUUAAUUAGAGUCACCCAUGAUGGAAACUCAAAUCAAUGCUUGGUAUAACGUCAAGUCUUGAGUUCAAUGAGACAAAGUACAUCAUUAGUAUGUGACUGUUAGCACUAUAAAUAAAUCCAUCCUAAGAUUAAAGUGCUAGGUAUCCAUAAUGAUAAGGAAAGGAUGAAUAAUGUACUCUUAAUGGACCCAUAACAGAAAUAUGUUAGAGUGUUAUAAUUACGGGAACACUCUUGAUGGGAUCUACCUAUGUGAGUGGAAGUGCGGCCGCUUCUAGGAGCUUAAGGGUUUGACUCUGACAGCACUCAUGAAAAGAGGACACAGACAUAUGGCCAUAAUAGUGUCUCUAGAUACUAUGCAUUGGCCGAUGUUGAAAUCAUUGUACGAGAUGUGUUCAGUUAAUCAAAUGGAAUAGUUGGUUCAAAGCUUUGUCUACCGUGCAUUUUUUAUUAACUUUAACAUAUAUUCACUAAGUGAAGGUUCAAUUGUAAGAUACAUUCAUUUAUGCAAAUUGAUUUCCAAGAAUAUCAAAAUCUAAAAUAUUUUGAAAAUGGGGGGGGAGAUUGUUGGAGCAUUUUCAAAUAUUUAUAGUGUUCCAAUAACUAUAAAUGAAUGGGUAUAAUUAAUCAAAAGAUUAUAUUAUUUGAUUUUUUGAAAAAGAGUUAUAACUAUUUAAAUAAUAUUAUUUGAAUAGUUAUAAAUGAAUAAUUAUGUGUUUAUUUUUAAGACAUUAUUAUUCAGAAAGACACCUAUUGAUGAAAGAUGUCUCUAUGAAGAGACAUGAAAAUUCCUAUAAAUAGGAAUGAGAUUUCAUUUGGAAAACAUACCAAAAAAUUUCAAAUAUUCUUUCUUUCCUUCCUUCAUUUUCUAAUAUUAUUAGAUUAUUCUAUAAAGUAUUACUGCAGAAAUUCUUUGUAGAAAUUGAGUUUUUGAUAUACAUUGAUUAGUGCGUAGUGGACUAUUCUCGUCAGUGCAAAACGCAAAUAGUCAUUGGCUUCAUUGUAUCCUCGAGGUUAAUUUGCUUGGAACUCAUUUGCACAUCAAAGAUAGGUGGGGGCGAAUAUAACCUUAAAGAUAGUGGCUUAAUACACACCUUGGAGCAUUGUCCUUUUUCUUCUUUUUUUGUUCGAGUUCUGUUCGUGUGUUUGAGAUUUUUCUCACCGGAGUUUUGUACUAACAAUAUUUACAUUUGAAUUCAAAUACAUAUUCUACAAUUAACUUUAAUCUCACUGUUACAAUACUUAACCUCACUAAAUUACUUGUUUAACAUGAUUAUCGUGAAUUUAUAGAAAGAACAAUCACGAAGCAAAUGCAGAUGCACUUAUGUUUAAAGUGUUUUUAAUUGAAAUUUUAUUAUUUUGAAAAAUAAAAGUAUAAUAACUUUUUUGGCAUUCCAACUUUAUAAAAGAAUUAUUUUAGCUCUUUAUUUAUUUUCCUUCUUUUUUAGUCUUUGAACUUACAUUUUUUUUGUCAAACCAUCCAAAAUGGGUAAAAAAGUUAACGUUUGUUAACUUUGUUGACAUGACAUAUAGGUGGAUUACCACGAGUAUGUCACAUUAGCAAUUAAUUAUUUUUAAAAAUAUCAAAAAAAAUAUUUUCUUAUUAUUUUUUAAUUUUUUUAAUGUUUAAAAUAUUUUUUAAAUGUUUUAAAAUUUUAAAAAAUAAUUAAUUGCUUAUGUGGCAUAUACAUGGAAAUCCGCGUGUAUGUCACAUCAGUAAAAUCAACAGACGUUAAAUUUUCACUCAUUUUGGAGUGAUUUAACAAAAAUUACAAGUUUAAGAACUAAAAGAAACGAAAAAUUAAAUGAUAAGUUGAAAUAACUUUUUCCGUAAAGUUAGAGACCAAAAGAAUCAUUAUGGCAAAAAAUAGUUGUUUUUCUUCUCUUUUCUUCUUUUCUUUUUGGUAUCUUUUAGUGCUAAAAUUCAAGAUGGUGUGGAAUAGUUUCUAAUCUUAUUAUUGUUAUAUAUGUUUUCGAUCUCAUUAGAGCUAUAAUCUUAUUGUCUAUAUAAAGAGAGCCUAAAUAUAAUUUGUUUAGCUUCUAUUAAACAUGUUAGUGCUCCUUUGUAUGAUCAUUUUCCUCCCGUGAGUAGGGUUGAGUAAAUAAAAUAAAAUAAUUGAAAAUCGAUCCAAAUCAAGGUGUUUAGACGGUUUAUGGAAUACAAAUUAAAAAAUCACAAUUAUCCGAAACCGAACAAAAUUCUAUUCUUUAUUUAACUUAUAAAUAAUUUUUUUAUAACAUAAAAAAUCUUUUAUAUUGAAAAAUAGUGAAAAUAAAUAUAUAUAUAUAUAUAUAUUUUAAAAAUAUUAUAUAAAAGUAUUUGAUUAUUUUUAUUUACUUAAAAAAAUUUUAAAAAUAUCUAUGAAAAUAACUUUGAAAAUUUGUCAAAUGAUAAUUAAAAGCCGUAAAAUAAAGUUAAUUUUAUUAAAAUAAUUAUAAAAUUUUAUAAUAAAAAAUCGAACUAAACUAAAUUAUAAUGGAUGGAUAAAAAAAUGCAAUCGAAUUAAACUAAUAUCACUUAAUUUUAUUGCACCAAACUGGACAUAAAAGAUUUUCUUAAAAAAUUUAACCUGCAAUGAGACUGUUUUUCUCACUAAAACCUUCUAGAGCGUGCAAUGUCCUCGCCAAGUAAGUAAAUUCAAUAGAGGUUGGAGGCUAAAGGUUGAUACAUAAAAGAAGGGGAGGGGCAUAGUUCUGCUUCAAACAAAACCCCAAAUUUAGCAUCUUGAGUUGUUAAAAUAAGUAAAUUCACCAUACUUUUCCGUUAGAUUUUGGCUCUCUUCUUCAGCAGAAUGUAGCGUACAGUACAAGAAGCAGGGACCAUCCUUUCUACCAUGAUUUGUUUAUCCGCCCACAUAUUCCAACAAAACGAAUAUGGUAAUAAAUGUCAUCAAUUUCCUUCUAAUUUCCAAUGGAUCUGAUAUAAAUGGUGUAACUAUAUUCAAGAGUACUUGUAUAAUAUAUAUGCCCAACUGAGUACUAGAUGGAAUCUAUGCUGUUGACGGACUCUUGGAGGCAUGUUCGAGAGAGCUUAAACACAUUUAUAUUUUUCAGUGUUCCAUACAAUAUUCUAAUGAGUGUCAAAUUCAUUAAAAAUGAUGUAAAAAAUAAUAUAAGGAGUAGGGUCAAUCCACAGAAAUUGAGAUAUCAACAUUUGUUGUUUGCUUCAACCAAGUUGCACGUCUAGAUUCCUAUCCUGCCCACGAGGUGUGACUGUCUGUGCAAAAAUAAAAAGAAAAAUUCUAAUGUAAUAAAAGUAAAAAUAAUAAAGAUAAAAAUAAGCAAAAAGGAAAUUAAAUUAAAUAAACUAAUAUGAUGGAAUUCAAGCUUUAAGCUCGAUUUUGUUCCAAUUUCAAACCAAUGCACGAUAACAAGUCUUCUCCUUCAACCGAUAAGCCAGUUAUAGUGAUCGAGGAUGCCUCAGACCACUAACCCUUCCAUAUGUAAAUUAAUUACGAGAACGCCCAACAAUUAAUCCUUAUCGAACGAACAACCACAAAACACGCAUCCACGAUUUAGCUCUCUGGUAGCCUUGUGAGCUAAAAGGGUCCAUCUCGAACCAACAACGUCAAUUACGUGAGUCGUUUAGAUCCGAUUGCUAACUUCUUAGUUGGACACGCUAAUGUGUUCUUCGGAAGAUCAAAUACGACAAAUGCUCAAUCCGGUACUUCCAAUUGUACGUCUAUCAACACCGAAUCAAUGAGCUAUUUUUAACAUUGUGUCAACACAACUUUGUGAGAUGCCAAUAUCUAUCUCCUAAAUCAGAGAAACAACAAAUACCGAAAUAAAAGUUUUUAAGUAUAAAUUUAGAUCUCACAGCUGUCUACUGGAUUAUUUAUUUAGCUACUAAUGAAAAUAUAUGAAAUAAAAGUAUAAAUAAAAUUUAAAAAAUAUGGAAAUAGGAUUGCGCAUGGAAGAGAGAAGUGAUAAACAAGUAUGAAUAAAAGAGGGCAAAUUUUCCAAUAAUAAAGAAAAAAAAAUCAUCACCCUUUAAAAAAGAGUGGGCCAAUCUCACUUUUACCCUUUAAAAAAUAUAUACAAUAAUGUUGCAAUUGAUAAUUCUGCCCAACUUGUCGUUCUUUAUUCAUAUAUAGCAUCAUGUCAUGUGGUGCUAUUCAAGAAAAAUACAUUGAAAGCUGCAGAAAAUUUAUAAAGAAAGGCCGUCCGUUAACAAAGUUUUUAAUAAAAAAUUAGUAACUUUUUAUUUAAUUAUUACUUAGUGGGUGGAUGGUGACAUCUUUAAAAUACAAUAUUGACUCUACGGGUGAUGUAUGUAUGUAUUAACGCUUGUAUUUUCAUCUUGUUCGAAUCAUUUCACUCUUCCUCCUGCAAUAAUCAAACACUUUUUGCGUGCCAUCAAUGGCUGAAGCAUUGCUUUCGAUAUUGCUGGAGAGCUCAUUACUAAGUUGAUCUCGCGAGCUCCCUCUCAGGUUGGAGUAUGGUGGAAUUUCAAAGAUAACCUCGAUGACUUCAAACAUUGUUGCUGUCAUAUCUGAAUGGGCUGAUCUAUGAAAAUUAAAUUAACUCUGAUACUACUUAAUUGUUAGGAUCAAUCCAAUUAAGCAAUAAGUAAAUAAAAUAGCGGAAUAAAUUGAGAAAUUGAACACAUAAAUUUAACGUGGAAAAAUCCCUUUAAAGAGGAUUAAAAACCACGAACAAAUAUAAUUUUACUAUAAUGGUAAAAGAACGAAGAGCAUAAAAGAUGGAGAUAAAAACUAAACCCCGAAAACACGAAAACAAAGAACCCUAAAAACGUAAACACAAAAUUCUCUAAAUGUGUUAUGAGUCUUAUUAUUAAUUAUUGGUAUCGUUGAUGUAGCUGAGCGUGUUAAUAUUUGUUGUUAGUGGUAGUAACAUUUUAAUUAUUUUAUUCUACAUUUAUUUGUUUAUUGUAAGUGGGUUGAUGAUUUUUAUUUGUUUAUUUUUGGAAAUUUUGUUUCAUUCUUUUGUUCCAUGUCAUGUUGGAAAAAGAGUUUGAAUAAACAUGUUUGGAGUAUUAGGGUUGUAUAAUCUAAAUUUUAAGAGAUUGUUGGUAAGUCAAGUAAAAAAAAUAUUUUUUAGAAAAUUUAAUAUUUAUUAAUAUAAUAUAUAUGUUUAGCAUUUAUUAGCAUAAUAUAUUUGAGAUUGAUUAGAAUUAAAUUUUUUUUAACCUAUAAAUAGAUGUAGUUGAAACUCCUAUCGUAUGAUUUGAAUUCAAACAAUUAAUGCAAUAACCAUAUAAAAUGGCGUUGGUUUGGCUACCCCUUUGAUGUUUUGGCUUCGUUUUGGUGUUUGUUUUGGGGGUUGUGUCUCUUUGGGUUAGUUUUCAAUAUAUGCGUGCUGAUGAUGCAAUGAAUAAAGAAAUCAAAAGUUAUGCAGAAAUUUCAAUUCUGGAUGGCGCUGCAAUUAUAUUAUUAAGAGUAGUAGCAUUUUAUUUAUUAUUAACAUAUAUUUGUUUAUUGGAUACGUGUGUUGAUGAUGCAGUGAAUAAAGAAAUCAAAAGUUGUGCAGAAAUUUCAAUUUUGGAUGGCGCUGUAAUUAUAUUACUCAGAGUAGUAGCAUUUUAUGUUUCUUUUAGAUGUACAUAUAUUUAUUAGGAAAGGGUUGAAGUUUUUUAUUUGUUUAUUAUUAGGGUUAAAUAUCAAAUUUAUACCUUAGUUUUGGUUCAAUUGUAUAAUUUGAUACAUGAAUUUUGAUUUGGUGCAAUUAUCUACAUGAAACUUGAAUUCUGGUUCAUAUAUAUAUAAAACUUUGAUCUUGAUAUAAUUGUACGCAUUAAAGAAAUGAAUACCUAUAUUUAUUUUCACAUUGGAUUAAUAUAAUAGUAGCGACCUAAAAUUUUUGCGAGUUAGUUAAGGUCGUUACGAAAGGAAAUCUUGGGUUGACGAUUAUUGAAAAUUCGGAAAAGGUCUCAAUUUUACUUAAAAAGAGACGAGUCGCCACCGGUCCUUUUUCUAAGUGAGAUCAGACACCUACUAAAUUCUCUUUUUAAAAGAAAAUUUAUUUUUAAAAUUCUCUUUAAAAAAAGUCGAUUUUAGGUCUGCGUCAAAAUCCAAAGAAAAUUAGAGUUCGGGAGUCUGUUAUGCACAAAGAAGGUAUUAACACCCUCGUGGCGCCCAAAAUCGAUAUCCCAUUAAACGCGUGUUGUCUUAAAUUUUAAAAAUACGAAUUCAAUUUAAUAUUUAAUCAUGAUUCGAUUGAAAAAUGAGAAUUUUGAUAAAUCACAUAUUAUUGUAUUGUAUAUAUUUUAGAAUGAAAUACUGAUAAUUUACGAAUAAAAAUAAAGAUUUUAUUUUUAAUGAGAGAAUUUUUAAAUUUUUUAAUUUUUAGAAGGGCGUUCCGUAUUUAACAAAAAUCAAUGAUAUCCACCCAACAUAGCAGUGAAAUCAAUGACUUAAUGCUAAAUCGGUUCGUUGACUUAGGUAUUGAAAUUAUUUAAAUUAAAAAUUGUAAAUGAAAUAUUUCUAAAAGGCUGUUUAAAAAUGCUAAUUUAAUUAAAAUGAAACAAUAUUUAAAUACAUGGACUAAAUAAAUAAAUACAUGCACUUAUGUUGUGAGAUAUCUAGUGAGUUCAAAAAUUCUCUUCUGAAAAUGGUGGCUAUCAUGUAAUUAGUAGUAUAUUAUUUCAAUUUUGGUGAGAAUUGUAUUCUCACUUAAACGCUUAAUGCCAUUUGCUUAAUUUUUUGUGUGUGUGAUCGUUUGAUCUGUUCAUAAACAGAACUUUUCAUGGUGGCUAAGUUUCUUAGGGGAUAAAUUAUUAGUAGCAUUAUUUGUUUCUGCAGUGAAAUUGUGAUGCCUGUAUUUUAAACUGUGAGGUAUUUCCGUAUUUGAUGAUGUAGUGGAGUUUUGGUAGAUUAAAGUGCUCGUUUGCUGUACUAAGUUGAAAUUGAAUGAAUGCUGGCCUCAUCCAACGCCCAAAACUUGAUGACUUCAACAUUUUUAUGCCUUAAUUCGAGAAGACUAAGUUAGAGUACUAUAAAACUUUCUCAGAAUGCUGAUGAGGCAAAGAUCUAGUGAUCUAAUAUAAUUGCAAUUCAUAGUAUGGUAGUUUAAAUGCUUUGGUAAGAGAGGAAGAUUAUGUCAUGCUACUCCAUUCUCGGUUUAAAUUGGUGCUCUAUAUGAAGAAAGGUUGAUUGUUGUUAGUUCUUUUGAUGUUUUAUCUUUGAUGGAUGUUUGAGAAAUGAUUCAGUUGAUUUUCAUAAUGUCUAUCACUACAGUUUCCAUCUUAUGCGUAAUAUGACUGCUAGUUUAUCGGUCUUCGUAUAUUAUAUUCCUUUUUCUUACUGUUUUCAACACGAAAACAAGUGAGUUACUAGUUAUUUUACUUGAUUUUGUCAUGGCAUUUCAAAGAUGACCUCGAGGACGUCAAAAGCACCAUCUCCACAAUCAAAGCUGCGCUUCUUGAUGCCGAAGAACAAUCCAUGACCAGCACUCUUGUCAAAGAUUGGCUUGAAAAGUUGAAAGAUGCAUUUUAUGAUGCCGAUGAUUGGCUCGAUGAUUUUUCUACUGAAGCUUUGCAGAAAGAUCUACUGAGCAGGAACAAGCUAAUGAAAGAAGUAUGCCUUUUCUUUUCAAGCUCAAACCAAUUUGCUUAUGGUGCCAAAAUGGGUCAUCAAAUUAAGGCCAGGAUGUUCAACUUGGUAGAGUGUGACCGUCCCAUUAAAACCUCUUUCAUAACUAAGAAGAGGCAGCGAACACACUCUUUUAUGAGUAAAGAUGAAAUAAUAGGGAGGGAAGAUGAUAAAGCAGCUUUUCUAGAACACAUAUUAGAGUUCCAAAGUGAAGAGAAUGUUUAUGUGAUUCCGAUUGUGGAGUUUGGAGGGUUAGGGAUGACUACAUUGGCACAGUUUGUCAAUAAAGUGGUCAAUGAUCAUUUUGAGUUGAGGAUAUGUAAAGAUUCCAAACUGGUCAUCUCGGAAGCGAUCUUAAAUUGGACAAAUCAGAGAGAUAAAGAAAUUGCAACCUCAAGAUGAAUACACUAUGAACUUCAUAAAGAAAUUGCAACCACAAGAUGAAUACACUAUGAACUUCAUAGUACAAAGAAAUGAUUUAACCUCAACCCCUCAAACACUUAACGCAAUCUCACUUUUGUACAAUUAAGUAAAUUCUCUCCCAACUCAUUCUAGCUAUGCAAGUGAAAAUUCACAUUCAACACUCAAAUGGUUUUCCUACUAUGAAUCAAGCUCUUAAUAAGCUCCAUGUAAAGUGGAAUCAUAAAUUUUCAAAGGCAAUAUGUCUGGCAAUUGUCAUGCUUGAACAACGACUCUUCCAAAAGCAUCAAUGAACCUGAAAAUUAUAAAUCCCAACAUAGAAUAUGUUACAAAUCCCAUUAUUAUCAGCCUUAUAUUUGCACAUAUGUGUGUUUGGUAUAAUGCUGUUGAUAUAUAAAUAAUGAAACAUUUUAUCAACUUCAACCUCACCACCAAAUAUUCCGAAGCAUCUUCCUUUUCUUCCUGUUUGGACCUUCAGUAACAAAUUUGGCUGGAAUUCUAAACAGCUAAAAGAGUGCCCUGCAUCAAUGAAUAUUAUCAAUUUGAAUACCUCCAAAAGCUUGUCAAUAGCACAGGUACCAUCUAAGAUAGUAAUCAGUUGGCAUAUAUUAAGAGAAAACAUAAAUAUAUAUAAAGAUAUGAUAGGUAAGUGCUUAAAUGAAGAAAGCAGAGCAUAUAGUACAACCAUUUUGAAGGCUUCAUAGGCCUCUCUUUCCACAUCAAUGAUUUUUUAGAAUUAAAUUAUUAGAAGCAAUUGUCAAGUUAUUAUUAUGAUUUAAAAGUAAAAAGAAAAUAGAUAAAUUAGCACCUCUUUUUAUGCAUAUAAAAUGAUUGAAGUUCACUAAUGCCUUUCUCCAAUGCCUUACUGCACAAAUCACCAAAAAUAUUAUGAAAGAUGAUAAGUAAAAAGUAGGAUUAAAACAUAGGGAUUUUAACAAGGAAAUUAAUAGUAUACAACUUCAAUGAAAAAUGGCAUCGGACCCCUGACUUGGAGAUUCAAUAUACAACUCUUAUUUUUCUUCAAAAAAAGAUAAAUAAAUAAAUAACAAAGACAGACCAACCUGAUCCAACCGAAUGUUGGGGAUGUGAGCAAUCUUUUGCCAAUCAGCGCCGAUGUCCUUCCGACAUCUUUCCUCCAACUGAGGAAUUUCUCCUAUUUGUAAAUACUACAAACUGGUCAGGCAACGCAUCUCGUCCGGAAGAGAUGUUAAAUUGGGCAAAUUAAUGAGAUAAAGCCCUUGCAGAUUUGUUAGAUGUUGAAGCAACUCCGGAAGAUGCCGACACUUUGGAAUAUUUUGCAGCCAUAGAGAGCGUAGGCUUGUAUGAUCUAGGAAUAUUUGGAUGCCAGCUCCAGAUAACUCCAGCUCCUUGCAGUCCUUUACUUCAAACCGUUCAAGGAAAGUGAGGUGUUGGAACACAGGAAGCAGUGACCUCAAUCCAUUGCAAUUAUGAAUUUUUAAUGUUUUCAAUUGAACAAGAUGUUGAAGCCAAAUGGGGAGAGACACCAGCUUUGGAAUAUUAUCAAUCUCCAAAUGAGAGAGAUUCUUAAGGGGUUCCCAUUGCAUGGCCUCUAAAUCAACCUCCUUGCAAUCCUCUAUUGUUAAUGUUUUGAGGCUGAUGAGAUGUUGCAGGCACUCAUCUAGCGUGUGAGUGUCCAACCCCUCAAUGUUGUGUACAUAGAAAGAUUUCAAUUUGGAGAGAGGCAGAGAAGAGGUUGAAGUUGAUGGGGACAUACUAGUGAUUUUCAUCUUCAAUGUCUGCUUUAACGGCCUUGAACUGGAAUUCCUCAACUCUAGCUUACCAUCGAGUGAUGGAUACAGUGGCAUUAAAGUCAAAGGGCAAUUUUGAAUUGUUAAAGAGGAAAGACAAGGAAAUGCCAUGGUUGAUGUUCCCAUAACUGUUGUGUCAUCCUCGUUGGAAUCAUCAUCGAUUGGUUUUGUCGUCCUCCACCAACUCUUCAUAUUCGGACAGUCCCCGAGCGAAAGAUGCUUAAGUGAUGGGAAGAAUGAUUGUGGUUCUCCUUGACUUCCUUUUGGGCUAUUAUCAUCCAUGUACUCCAGCUUCGUACAAUCAUGUAUCUCCAGCCCUUUAAGACAAGGAAAUUGCGCAAAGGACUGGAUUUGUUUGAAAUUAACCCCAUCUAUUGUCAUAUAAACGAGAUUUGUGAGCAAAGGAAGCCAACUUGGAAACUUGGCAUCACCCCUCCAUCCUCGAAUGCAGAGCUCCUUGAGAUUAGGAUGGGGUUGGAGGUCUUCAAGUGAUUUAUCAUCACCACCACCACCACCAUCAUCAUACCAUUCUAAAGCCAACGAGCUCAAAUGUUGCUUCUCUUUCAAAUUAGCAGCCUUAAACUUCUCUUUUGCAUUUUUUACGAAUCCCAAAUUUGUUAUUUGUAGAUGUCCCCUUAAGUUGUUAAGCAAUCUCAAUUCACUUAGAUCUGCACCGCCAUGGGACCCAUCUUUAUCCACUACAGACAUGCUUAACGUCUCAAGUGAAGCCAGCUUCCCUAUUCCACGUGGCAUAUGAGUUAAACUAUGACAAGAAUAACACGCAAGAUGGGUAAGAUUCACCAAUUUUUCAAUCUUCUUUGGCAAUUCUUUAAGCCAAGUACACCAGUCAAGUUUCAGCGCUAGCAAAUUCUGAAUCUUGCAAAUACUCUUUGGGAGAAUCUUAAGAUCGCGAUUAUAAGAAAGAUCAAGGUACCUCAAAUGUUUUAACUUACAAAUGGAGGGUGAAAUCUUUUGAAUACAUAUAGAAUUCAAUUUCAAUACACACAAGCAUCUACAAUUUGCAAUUAUCAAAUCCCAAGUUUCAUAGCUGAAAUCUUCACUUAUUCUGUCUUGAAAAUGUAACAAGGUUCGCAACUUCUUUCCCUUAAACAAAGGAAAUAAUGAAGGUUUAAUUGAUAUGUGGCGACAUUUUUCACCAACAUCACUUGCAAUUUUAUUUGAAUCUACAAUACUACUCUCCAUCCCUGCUACUGAUUCAGCUAGAUCAUGCAUUUUACAUGUUAGCCCUUCCCAUAAAUAUCUUUCUCCUUGUACAUCUUGAAAGAAACUUCUUUCAACUAAAUCUUUAAAAUACCCAAACCCGAUCUCCUCCAGAGAUUGACUUUGAUUCAUUGCUUUAUGAAACCCUAUGCAAUCCAAAAUUGAACAAGCGCUUGUACUUUAAUUUUGUUAUCUUUUGGAUACAAUCGGCAAUAAGCAAAGCAAUGCUUCAAAUGAGACGGGAGAUGAUCAUAACUCAAUUUCAGUAUAGGUAGAAGUUCUCCUUCAAUUUGUGAUAUUUUAGCUAGUUCAUUUUCUUUGAAAGAAUGCCACUCAUUUGCAGUUUUCUUCAAAGAUAAUGUACCAGCUAUCGUCCUUAUGGCUAAGGGAACCCCACCACACCUUUCCGAAAUCUGUCUCCCUACUUCCACAAAGGCUGAAUUUGUUGAGUCUGCAUAUCCUUGCUCAAAUGCUAUCUUUUUGAACAAAGACCAAGCAUCAUCAUCAGACAAGCCUUUCAAUUUCAAAACACGGGAUUGACACUUAUUAGUUAUCUCCGCUACCCUUAGAGAUCGAGUAGUUACUAUUAUCCUACUCCCUUUAGCCCCACCCAUCAAUAACUUCUUUAGCCUAGACCACUUUUCUGGGUCCUCAUUCCAAAUGUCAUCCAAAACAAUCAAAUAUUUUUUCCCAUCAAUUUUAUCUCGAAGUUGUUUUUGCAAUUGAUCCAUUUCAAGAUUUUGAUCUGGUGCUUGAUGAGUGACAGAUUUGAUAAUGUUUGCUACAAUAACUUUCACAUCAAAAUCAUCUGAAACGCACGCAAACAUCGUUAAGUCAAAAUGAUUUUUGACCAUUUCAUGAUUAUAGACAAGUUGGGCCAAAGCAGUCUUCCCUAACCCUCCAAACCCCACAAUUGGAAUGAUAUAAACAUUCUCUUCACUUUGAAACUCCAACACGAGUUUUAGAAGAGCUGCUUUAUCAUCAUCCCUCCCUAUUAUGUCAUCUUCAAGCUCAAAAGAGUGCGUUUGCUGCCUCCUUUUAGUCAUGAAAGAGGUUUCCGCGGGGCGAUCACGCGGAAUGAAGCGAAAAGUGUUGGCCUCACUUUCAAUUGAAGCUAAUCUCGCCUUAAUGGCCUUCAUUUUCCGACCCAUUUUGAGACCAUAAGCAAAUUGGUUUGAGGUUGAGAAGAAAAGGCGUACCUCUUUCGUCAGCUUGUUCCCAUCCGAUGCAUCUUUCCGCAAAGCUUCAGUAGAGAAAUCAUCGAGCAAGUCGUCGGCAUCAUAAAGUACAUCUUUCAGCUCUUCAAGCCAAACUUUGACGAGAUUGUCGGUCACCGAUUUCUCUUCUGCGUCAAGAAGCACAGCUUUUAUUGUACGGACAGUGAGUUUGAGGUCGUCGAGGUCAUGUUUGAGAUUCCUCCACAGUCCAACUUGAGAGAGAGCACGAGAGCUCAACUUAGUAAUAAGCUCUAGGGCGAGGUCGAAUGCAAUUGCUUCGGCCAUUGCUGGUUCAAACAGAAAUCAUGCAAGAGGAGGAGUAAAAUAAGAAUGAUGAAACGUAUGCGAGCCAUUAGCAAUUGAUUAUUUAAAAAAAAAAUUAAAAUAGUUUUUUAUAAUUUUUAAAAUAGUUUUUAAUAGGUGUAUAUUUUUUAAAAUUUUUAUAUUUAAAACAUUAAUUAAUUGCUAAUGUAGCAUUCAUGUCAAUAAAGCUAAUAAAUAUUAAUUUUUUUUGAAUUAAUAAUACAUUUAUUAAAACUUUAUUGCUUUUAUUGGAAUGAUUAUAUAUUAAAGUUUGACAAUGAAUGUACAAAGCUAUUUUAUUCAUAACCAAGUCAAAAUAUUGUCACCCCACACAAUUGUAUACUUUUUCAAAAUCUACUUUAAAAGACAGCACCUCUCCUUCUUUAUGUCUUUGAAUAUAGUCCACAACUUCGUUUUUACUGGAGCACGAUCCAGGAUUUACCAAUCUGAAAUAAAAGUAAAAUUAAAUUUUAUCGAUAGUUUUGAGCCGAGCUUCGAAUCUAUAUAGUCAAAAUUUUUCAAUGGGGUUAGUGGACUUUACUUCAGUUUAAUUGAAAAUAGCUCACAAGGUUCAAAUUGAACAUAUAUAGACAUCUCUUCUCCCCUUGCUUGAGUUGUUGAACUAAACUAACUUUCUUCAUAUAAUAUUAAUUUUACCCAAAAGUUUCCUUUUCAACGAAAAAAAAAUUCCUAAAAUACAAAAGUUAAUGAAAGAUAAAGAAGACAUUGGAUCUAGGUUAAGUUGUUUUGUAAAAAGCUGAAAGUGCAGGGCAUCCAUAUUUGUAUCCUCAACAUUUGGUAACUGAUGGGAGCUAUGCUAAACAUUCAACCAAUCAUUAGGUACUGAAACGUUUUCAUUAAAUGAUAGUCUUACAUAAUGUACACAAGACUGCCUGAUAAUUAGUUGUGUUUCCAUGUGUUGGAUUAUUAUUUGAAACGCCGAAAGAGAAAAUUGUUUUUUUUUUUUUUAAAGAUGACACACAAAAGUAAAAAUAAAGGAGAAUAAAGAACACAACCAAGAUGUUUAUGCCCAACCCACCAAACUUGGUGCAACCUCACCUUUGUACAAUUAAGUAAACACUCUUCCAACUUAAGUGAAAAUCAACACUCAUAAGGUGGCACUCAAAUAAUAGUUACUCACCAAGUGUUCCUUUAAGUCCACAAAUCAUCUAUAUAUAUAAGCUCCAAGAUCAGCUGAUGAAGAAUGCUUACAGAUCGACUCUUCAACAAAGAAAAAAAGAAAAAGAAAGAACAAAUGUGCAUAGAGAGGAGGAUUUCAUGGGAGCACAAUGCAUGGACAGAUCAGCUGAUGAAGAAUGCAUGUCCUGCUUUUUGGCUCUUCCAUUGAACUCAUGCUGAAAAAGAAGCAGCUUAGUUACGAGGUUACAUUAGAUCAUUUGAAAUUAUGAGAUUAUUAUAAUUUUAAAAAUGUAAAGCAAUUAAGUAAUUACCACCUAUUUGUCUGCAUCUAAAUUCUUAAAGUUGUCAAAUGCCUUUAAGAAAAAUACAUGCCAAUCGAAUAUGUGGGCAGAUAAACAAAUGAGGGUAGAAAGUACGAUCUCUGCUUUUUGUAUUGCAAGCUAUGCUCUGCCAAAGAAUAGAGCCACAAGCUAACAAAAAUGAAGGGUAAAAAGAUCAAAAAUUUCAAGAUAAAAUAUAAAAUUGUAUGUACAUAUGAUUAAGAUUUAAAUUAGGAAAAUGAACAAAGCAGAGCAUGAAGUAGAAGCAUAUUGAAGGCUGGCAUGCAAGCAUUUUGGAAAAUGUCCAUUGGGUACCAAUAAAGAUUUUUUAGAAUUAAAGUAUUAGAAGCUAUGAAAUGAUAGAUAUGAACCACCAAAAUGCUUCACACUAAAUCUAAAUUAUUCAAUUUUGUUUUAUUGAAUCAAAUAGAAAAUAAAUGAGUGGCAUGAAUUACCUGUCAUUCCUUGUUGGUAUUUGGUGUAAGCUGCAAUUUCAAAUGUGUAUUUCAUCAGAUCAUUGCGAUGGUGAGAUUAAUAUAAUUUAAAAGCGUAAAGCAUUUAGCUAGAUUACCACUUUUUUUUUCUGCAUUUGAAUUCUUGAAAUUGCCAAAUUCGUUUCACUAGAAGUCUUCGAUGCUUACUGCACAAAAUAGCCAAAUAAAAUGAUAAAUGAAGAAAUUGCACCCAAAGCUUGUUCUAUUUUGACAAAAGAGGCGGUAGUUGGAGAGUCAAUGUACCAACCUGUAGCGAUAUGAGCAAUCUUAUGCCAAUCGGCACCAAUCCCCUUCCGACAUCUUUCCUCCAACUGAGGAAUUCGUUUCAUAAAGAACUCUUCCAAACUGGUUCUCGUCCGGAAGCGAUGUUAAAUUAGGCAAAUCAGAGAGAAUAAGCCUUGGAAGAUGGCGACACUUUGGAAUCUUUGCCAGCGCUAGAGAGCGCAGGCUUGUAUGAUCUUGGAAUAUUUGGAAGUUAGGUGCAGAUAACUCCAGCUCCUUGCAGUUACUUAUUGAAAACUCUUCAAGGAAAGAGAGAUGUUGGAACACAGGAAAGAGUGUCCUCAAUCCAUGGCAUUCAUGAAUUCCCAAUGUUUUCAAUCGAAAAAGAUGUUGAAGCCCAAGGGGGAGAGACACCAGCUUUGGAAUAUUACCAAUCACCAACCAAGAGGUUCCCGUUGCAUGCCCUCUAAAUCAACCUCCUUGCAAUCUCCUAUUGUCAGUUUUUUGAGGCCGGUGAAAACAGAUUAAUGGAAUCCAUGUAGUUUUCAAAGGUGAAUAAAGUAAAAUAAAGUAAAAUAAAAACUAAAAAUAGACUUGGACACUUUAUGUUAAAUUUAUAAUAAGUUUAAGGGCUAAAAUAAUCAAACUAUUGUCUAACACAUGCUAUGAAAAAGAAAUCACGGUUAAAAGAAUAUUGUAUGCUUCAAUGAAAGUCACAAUUUAUCUUUGAUCAUGCUUGUUCGCAACUAAGCCACUAUAAUGUAACUACAUGUUCCUACAAACCUCGCUCUAGUCGACUUUGCCCUAUGAUCCAUUAGUCAAGGGUAUUUAUCCCAUCUCCAAAGUCAUGGGAUUGAUUUGUCGGUUUUGCCUUUUUUAUACUUUAGGUAAAUGUGUACGAAGUGUGUGAGUUCCAAGCUGUGUGUCAUUUGCUUUUCUUUUUUCUUUUUUUUUUUGUGUGUGUGAUCUUUUGAUCUGUUCACAAAUAGAGCUUUUCAUGGUGGCUAAGUUUCUUAGGGGAUAAAUUAUGAGUAGCAUUAUUUGUUUCUGCAGUGAAAUUGUGAUGUCUGUAUUUUAAUGUGUGAGGUAUUUCCAUUUGUUUCUUAGGGAUGCAGUGAAAUGCGUGGGAUGUGAGCAAUUUUAUGCCAACCAGCGCCAAUGUCCUUCCAACUGAGGAAUUUGUCUCAUAAUCAAUUGUGCAUCCUUGCAUUUGAAUACUGUUUGGAACAUUAAAAAUGUGUUUUUUCCUGAGUUGGUACAUAUUAUGCAACAAGGAAUAUAAAGAACAAAAUUAAUAUGUUUACGCAGUUUGGAACUCAUCUUACGUAUGCGGGGCUUUGCCCAAAGAUGAAUCCAAUAUGAACUUCAAUAAAGAAAUGAUUUAAGCUUAACCCCUCAAACACUUGAUGCAAAUUCUCUCCCAACUCAUUUUAGCUAUGCAAGUGAAAUUCACAUUCAACACUCAAAUGGUUUUUCUAUUAUGAAUCAAGCUCUUAAUAAGCUCCAUGUAAAGUGGAAUCAUAAAUUUUGAAAUGCAAUAUGUCUGGCAAUUGUCAUGCUUGAACAACGACUCUUCCAAAAGCAUCAAUGAACCUGAAAAUUAUAAAUGCCAACAUAGAAUACGUUACAAAUCCCAUUAUUAUCAGCCUUAUAUUUGCACUUAUGUGUGUUUAGUAUAAUGCUGUUGAUAUAUAAAUAAUGAAACAUUUUAUCAACUUCAACCUCACCUCCAAAUAUUCUGAAGCAUCCUCCUUUUUUUCCUGUUUGGACCUUCAAUAACAAAUUUGGCUGGAAUUCCAAACAGUUAAAAGAGUGCCCUGCGUCAAUGAAUAUUAUGAAUUUGAGUACCUCCAAAAGCCUGUCAAUAGCAUAGGUGCCAUCUAAGAUAGCAAUCAGUUGGCAUACAUGAAGAGAAAACAUAAAGAUAUAUAAAGAUAUGAUAGGUAAGUGCUUAAAUGAAGAAAGCAGAGCAUAUAGUACAACCAUUUUGAAGGCUUCAUAGGCCACUCUCUCCACAUCAAUGAUUUUUUAGAAUUAAAUUAUUAGAAGCAAAUAGAUAAAUUAGCACCUCUUUUUAUGUAUAUAAAAUGAUUGAAGUUCACUAAUGCCUUUCUCCAAUGCCUUACUGCACAAAUCAGCAAAAAAUAUUAUGAAAGAUGAUAAGUAAAAAGUAGGAUUAAAACAAGGGAUUUUAACAAGGAAAUUAACAGUAUCCAACUUCAAUGAAAAAUGGCAUCAGACCCCUGACUUGGAGAUUCAAUAUACCACUUAUUUUUCUUCAAAAACAGAUAAGGUCAUCAAAAUAAAUAAAUAACAAAGACGGACCAACCUGAUACAACACAAUGUUGGGGACGUGAGCAAUCUUUUGCCAAUCAGCGCCAAUGUCCUUCCGACAUCUUUCCUCCAACUGAGGAAUUUCUCGUAUGUGUAAAUACUCCAAACUGGUUAGGCAACGCAUCUCGUCCAGAAGAGAUGUUAAAUUGGGCAAAUUUACGAGAUAAAGCCGUUGCAGAUUUGUUAGAUGUUGAAGCCAAUCCGGAAGAUGCCGACACUUUGGAAUAUUUUGCAGCCGUAGAGAGUGUAAGCUUGUAUGAUCUUGGAAUAUUUGGAUGCCAGCUCCAGAUAACUCCAGCUCCUUGCAGUCCUCUACUUCAAACUCUUCAAGGAAAGUGAGAUGUUGGAACACAGGAAACAGUGACCUCAAUCCAUUGCAGUUAUGAAUUUUUAAUCUUUUCAAUUGAACAAGAUGUUGAAGCCCAAUGGGGAGAGACACCAGCUUUGGAAUAUUAUCAAUCUUCAAAUGAGAGAGAUUCUUAAGGGGUUCCCAUUGCAUGCCCUCUAAAUCAACCUCCUUGCAGUCCUUUACUUCAAACUCUUCAAGGAAAGUGAGAUGUUGGAACACAGGAAGCAGCGACCUCAAUCCAUUGCAGUUAUGAAUUUUUAAUGUUUUCAAUUGAAGAAGAUGUUGAAGCCCAAUGGGGAGAGACACCAGCGUUGGAAUAUUAUCAAUCUCCAAAUGAGAGAGAUUCUUAAGGGGUUCCCAUUGCAUGCCCUCUAAAUCAACCUCCUUGCAGUCCUUUACUUCAAACUCUUCAAGGAAAGUGAGAUGUUGGAACACAGGAAGCAGCGACCUCAAUCCAUUGCAGUUAUGAAUUUUUAAUGUUUUCAAUUGAAGAAGAUGUUGAAGCCCAAUGGGGAGAGACACCAGCUUUGGAAUAUUAUCAAUCUCCAAAUGAGAGAGAUUCUUAAGGGGUUCCCAUUGCAUGCCCUCUAAAUCAACCUCCUUGCAAUCUCUUAUUGUUAAACUUUUGAGGCUGGUGAGAUGUUGCAGGCACUCAUAUAGCGUGUGAGUGUCCAACCCCUCAAUGGUGUGUACAUGGAAAGAUUUCAAUUUGGAGAGUGGAAGAGAAGAGGUUGAAGUUGAUGGGGCCUUAGCGUUGAUGUUCAUCUUGAUAGUCUGCUUUAACGGCCUUGAACUGGUAUUCAACAAUAUUAGAUCUUCAUCGAGUGAUGGAUACAGUGGCAUUAAAGUCAAAGGGCAAUUUUGAAUCCAUAAAGAGGAAAGACAAGGAAAUGCCAUGGUUGAUGUUCCCAUAACUGUUGUGUCGUCCUGGUUGGAAUCAUCAUUGAUUGGUUUUGUCAUCCUCCACCAACUCUUCAUAUGCAGGCAUUGACUGAGCCGAAGAUGCUUAAGUGAUGGGAAGAAUGAUUGUGGUUCUCCUUGACUUCCUUUUAGGCUAUUAUCAUCUAUGUACUCCAGCUUAGUACAAAAGCUAAUAUCCAGCAGUUCAAGACGGGGCAAUUGAGCAAAGGACGGGAAAUAUUUGAAAUUACCACCACUUAUGAAAAUUUUGACGAGAUUUGUGAGAAAAGAAAUCCAACUUGGAAACUUGGCAUCACCCCUCCAUCCUCCAAUACAGAGCUGCUUGAGAUUAGGAUGGGGCUGGAGGUCUUCAAGUGACUUCUCAUCAUCAUGGUUACCACCGCCCCAUUCUAAACCCAACCAUCUCAAAUGUUGCUUCUCAUUCAAAUUAGCAGCCUUAAACUUCUCUUUUGCAUUUUUUACGAAUCCCAAAUUUGUUAUUGUUAGGCGUCCCCUUAAGUUGUUAAGCAGUCUCAAUUCACUUAGAUCUGCACCGCCAUGGGACCCAUCUUUAUCCACUACAAACAUGCUUAACGUCUCAAGUGAAGUCAGCUUCCCUAUUCCACGUGGCAUAUGAGUUAAUCUAUCACAAAAAUAACACGCAAGAUGGGUAAGAUUCACCAAUUUUUCAAUCUUCUUUGGCAAUUCUUUAAGCCUAUGACAGCUGUCAAGUUUCAGCGCUAGCAAAUUCUGAAUCUUGCAAAUACUCUCUGGGAGAAUCUUAAUAUUGUAAUUGGCAGAAAGAUCAAGGUACCUCAAAUGUUUCAACUUGUAAAUGGAGGGUGAAAUCAUCUGAAUACCUAACCACCGAAAAUCCAAUACACGCAAGCAUCUACAAUUUGUAAUUACAAAUUCCCAAGUUUCUUCGCUCAAAUGUGCAGAAAAUUUGUUUGGAUAUCGUAACAAGGUUCGCAACUUCUUUCCCUUAAACAAAGGAAUUAAUGAAGGAUUAAUUGAUAUGUGGCGACAUUUUUCACCACCAUCACUUGCAAUGUUAUUUGAAUCUACAAUACUACUCUCCAUCCCUGCUACUGAUUCAGCUAGAUCAUGCAUUAAAUCAUGCAUUUUACAUCUCAUAUCCCCAAUUCCAUAUUCUUCUACCUCUUGAAAGAAACUUCUUUCAACUAAAUCUUUAAAAUAUCCAAAUCCGAUCUCCUCAAGAGAUUGACUUGGAUUCAAUUGCUUUACAAAACCUUGUGCAAUCCAAAAUUGAACAAGUGUUCGUACAUCAAUUUCAUGAUCUUUUGGAUAUAGUCGACAAUAAGCAAAACAAUGCUUCAAAUGGGAUGAGAGAUGAUCAUAACUCAACUUAAGUGUAGGUAAUAUCUCACCUUCGUUCUGAGAUAUUCUAGCAAGUUCCUUAUCUUUAAAAGAAAGCCACUCACUUUUAGUUUCUUUGAAAGAUAACGUACCAGCUAUCGUCCUUAUGACUAAGGGAACCCCACAACACCUUUCCAGAAUCAGCUUUCCUAUUUCCACAAAGCCUGAAUCUGUUGAGUCUGCCGAUCUUUGUUCAAAUGCUAUCUCUUUGAACAAAGACCAAGCAUCAUUAUCAGACAAGCCUUUCAGAACAUAAGGCUGACAUUUACUAGUAAUCUUUGCUACUCCCAAAGAGCGAGUAGUUACUAUUAUCCUACUUCCUUUAGCCCCACCUACUAAUAACUCUUUUAAACUAACCCAAUUUUCCCACUUUUCAUUCCAAAUGUCAUCCAAAACAAGCAAAUACUUUUUCCCACCAAUUUUUUCCCGAAGUUGUUUUUGCAAUUGGUCCAUUUCGAGAUUUUGAUCUGGUGCUUGGCCUGUUGCAGAUUUGAUCAUGUUUUCUACAAUUAUUUUGACAUCAAAAACAUCUGAAACACACACCCACAUCAUCAACUCAAAAUGAUUUUUGACCAUUUCAUCAUUAUAGACAAACUGAGCCAAAGCAGUCUUCCCUAACCCUCCAAACCCCACAAUUGGAAUGAUGUAAACAGUCUCUUCACUUUCAAACUCUAACACGAGUUUUAGAAGAGCUGCUUUAUCAUCGUCCCUCCCUAUUAUUUUAUCUUUAGGCACAAAAGAGUGCGUUUGCUGCCUCUUUUUAGUCAUGAAAGAGGUUUCCAUGGGACGGUGACGCUCUACCAAGUUGAACACCUUGGCUUCACUUGCAAUUGAAAACAACCUGGCCUUAAUGGUCUUAAUUUUCCGACCCAUUUUGAGACCGUAAGCAAACUGGUUUGAGCUCGAGAAGAAAAGGCGUACCUCUUUCGUCAGCUUGUUCCCACCCAUUAGAUCUUUCCGCAAAGCUUCGGUAGAGAAAUCAUCUAGCAAGUCGUCAGCAUCAUAAAGUACAUCUUUCAGCUCUUCAAGCCAAACUUUGACGAGAUUGUCGGUCACCGAUUUCUCUUCUGCGUCAAGAAGCACAGCUUUGAUUGUACGAACAGUGCGUUUGAGGUCGUCGAGGUCAUGUUUGAGAUUCCACCACAUUCCAACUUGAGAGAGAGCACGAGAGCUCAACUUAGUAAUAAGCUCUAGGGCGAGGUCGAAUGCAAUUGCUUCGGCCAUUGCUGGUUCAAACAGAAAUCAAGCAAAGAAGUGUUGGGUUAUUGCAAGAGGAGUAGUAAAAAUGAGAAUGAUUGGAACAAGAUGAAACACAGAUGUGGAUCCAUACACGCAGAGACUAAGUAUAUUUAUAAAUGUUAGCAUUCACCCAGCAAGUAGUAUAAUUAAAUAAAAAGUAAUGUUGAUUGGUGGGAAAUGGUCCCUCCAUGUUUACUGUUUGACACAAAUUUCUCAACGGAGACAAAGUUGGACACUUGGGGUGCUCUGCACAAUGUGGAGCCGUACAAAUAAUUGAAAUUAAUGAAAAAGAUAGGUAAGAAAAGAGAAAAAGGAGACAAAUCCCAUGGAAUCCAAGGUGUUUUGAUUGACGCCCAUCCAUUCAAGUCUUUUUAAACCUUCUUCCCACUUACUUUGUGUAAUUGAGUGAGUCUGAACACUCGGUUUUAACUUAAAUUUAAUAUUUUAUUUUUUAAUUUAACUUCAGUUGAAUAUAUAAAAUAAAAAUUCAAUAAAAGUCAUUCACCAUUAAAAUCAAAUAUUAUUAAAUUCGAAUAUAUUAAAUCAAUAAUUUAAAUAUAAUUUAAUGAUUAUUGAAUCAACUUAAAUCAUGUCCAUAUUUUUUGUCUUUGAAGGUAACUUGGUGCCUACAAUAAUAUAUUACGACAAUGGUUACUGUCCAUUACUACUUUAAUAUACUCUUAUUACUAGUGUUUUUUUAUAUUAAUGGGUAUGUUAAUUAUAUUUGCUAUUAAUUUUUUAUAUAAUAUUAAGAGUGGGGAUGGAGGUAAUAUUGUUUGAAUCCGUGUCAAACACGUAUUGACAAGAGUUUUAACUACCGUUCCUAGCAAGUCAAGACAUAUUUGUUAUUAAUAGUAGUAGCAUUUUAUUUUUCUUUUAAAUAUACAUAUAUUUAUUAAGAAAGGAUCCAAGGUUUUGAUUUGUUUAUUAUUAGGGAAAAAAAUUUAAAUUUAUACAAGAAUUUUAGUUCAAUGAGUAAUUUAAUACAUGAAUUUUGAUGUGGUAUAAUUUCCACAUGAAACUUGUAUUGUGGGUCAUAUAUUAAUACAUGAAAUUUUAAUUCUCAUUCAACUGUACACAUGUAAAAAAAUGCAUACAUAUAUAUAUUUUUACAUUGGAUUAAUAUAAUUGUUUGUCGAUAUAAUAUAUCAAAGUAAAAUGUAAGAGGUUGAUUUGGCAUAUCCCAAAACAUUUUGUUAUAGCUUCCGGUGUUGUAACACCCUUAAACCGUAUCCAUUGGCAAAAUAGGGUUAUAGAGCAUUACCGGAGUUUACAAAUUAAUUUAGAGACAAUUCAUUUCAUCAAGCAUUCAUAUUUAUAACCAAUCAAAAUCAAAACAUUAAUGAACUAACGUUGGUCAAUUUAACUUACAUGCCAUUAUAACCAGAAUCAAAUUAUUCAAAAUUACCGAUAGAACCAAUGGAUAGUGCAAUAUAUCUCCGACAAGUUUCCAACCCAAUCGAGCUUCCGAUAAUCAUUUCAAUGCAGCUAAUAAUUAUACAUAUUACCAAUAAUAAUUCAAUUCAAAUAAUAAAACACAUAUUUAUAUAAUAUUUAUCACCAAAUAACAUUCACUUUAAUUAAAAUUAUACUGAAUAUAGUUCAUACGAACUUACCAGGCUAAAUUGCAGAAAUGCCAAAAUUCAGGGAUAUUUUGGUAAUUUUCUAUUUUCCUUGAAUUUCCACCCAAUCUUGAUCUAAAUUAAUAUUUCAUUCAAUUUAUUAAUUGAAAUAAUAAAACAAUUUAUUUCAUACAAUUUGGUCACUUUUUGACAUUUUUACAAAAUUACCCUAAAAAUUUUACCUUUAUUCAAUUUAGUCCCUGAACCUAAAACAUGUAAAUUAGCUAUUUUAAAAAUAAACCCAUAUUAUCUAAAUAUUCACAUAUAUUUUUUCCUCCUCCUCCACUCCAUUCUACACCCUUGAUAUAUACAUAAUACCACUAUUUACUUGUUUACUCAUAACAAGUUAUUCACUUGAGUCAUAGUCACUAAAUAAAUUAUAUAUUAAGCUACAGUACUCCAAUUUGAGAUUUGUAAAUUUUCUAUGAAACUAGACUCACAUAUAUUCUUACCAUAAAAUUUCAGAAUUUUUUUUAUCCAAUAAGUACAUUUUAUUCUUUAAAGUUUCCCCUAUUUCAUUGUUUGACAGUUCCGAUCCCUCUUCACUAAAAAUUAAUUAUCCCUUUGUAAAAAAUUCAGAUGAUAUUCAUGUUUGUUUCUAUUGAAAAUAGACUCAUUAAGUAUUUUAAAAAUAUAAAUUAUAACCCAUAAUUAUUUUUAUACAAUUUUUAAUGAUUUUUCCAUGUCAGAACAGGGGAACUCGAAUUCAUUCUAACAUUGUCUCACAAAAUUCAUUAUAUCUCAUGAUUUACAAUUUCAUUACUUACACUCUUUCUUCUAUGAGAAACCAGACUGAAUAAGCUUUAAUUUCAUUUUUUUUUUCAUCCUCUAAUUUGAUUUCCACAAUUUAUAGUGAUUUUUCAAAGUUAACCUACUACUGCUGUCCAAACUGUUUUAGUGUAAAAUGUUGAUAACUAAAUUUAUAACACCUUUGUUUCCUUUCUCUUCAAUAUUUUCCAUCACUUCCUCUUAUUUCCCUUUACUAACAUAACAACAAUAUAGAUCCUUAUAUAAUGAAACUCUACAUUAAUAUUAAUUUCCUACUUUUUCAAUAAUAUCAAACUCAAAAGUAUAUUGAAAUCUUGAUGUUCUUACAUUGUGCUAUUGAUUUCAAUCUUUAACUUGAUUUUCUCUCUCCUUCAACUUCUAUUUCUUGAAUCGAACUUAAUAUUCUAGCUCCCCAUAGUCUCCUUAACAUUUUUCUCUCUUGGUAGCUAUGGAAAUUCUUUUGAUUUCUAGGUGAAAAUGGUAAAUUUUUGGAGGAAGGACCAAAUUGUAAAGAAAAGAAAACUUUCUUUCUGUCUUCCUUCUUCUCACGUUGGUUCUUCAUCUUUCCCUCCAUAUAUAAUACUAAAUAGAAUAAUAAUAAAAUAAUAAAAUAUCAUUUCAAAAUUAAAUUAAAAUAUUAAUAAAUUAAUAUUUAUUUAUUUAAUUAAUCUAAAAUAUCACCAACAUCAUCAUUGCCUUCUAGAUUUCUCUCUCUUCUAAUUGACUAUUUUGCCCUUUAUAAUCUUUAAAAAUUCCAUCCUUGAGUCAUCACUUAAUUUGGUAAAAUUACGAUUUAGUCCCUCAAAAUUCUUCACCUUUUUUAAUUUGGUCCUAAUUCAUCCAUUUUCCUUAGUUUCUAGAUUAUUCCACCCUUAAAAUAUUUUCACUAUUGGUCCUUCAACUUUUUCAUAUUUACACUUUACCCCUUCAAAUUUUGAGUAUUUACUCUUGAUCAACAAAACUUUUCUCACUUUUGCGAUUUAAUCCUUUCUUGAAUUAAUAUAUUAUAAUAUAAUUCCUAAUGUUGCCAAAACUCAAAAUUUUCAAGGUAUUACAGUAAUAAUUUUCGGGAUAUUACAGGUGCUCAUAUCUAUUUAAUUAUUUUAAUACACAUAAAAUUGUUUAUUGUGAGUUGGAUGAUUUUGGUUUGUUUAUUUAAGAUAUUUUAUUUUUAAAUAUAUUCUUAAUUAUUUAUUUUACAUAUUUUAACUUAAUAUAUUUAAUAGUGAUUUUUUUAAUAAAAAAAAGGACCCAAAGGUUACUACCUCAUUUUAAGUUGCAUCAUAAAUUACAAUGUUAUGGAUAUCGCUAUGAUAAUCAAUCUCAAAAGACAAAUUACAACACUUAGAAAGAGCCCAAUUACAAAGAGAAUCGGCUAAUUUGUUACAACCACGUUUCACCCAUUUGACCUUGGCGGAAACAAAAGAAUCAAGCAUCUUGUGAACUCCUUGAUGCAGUGAUCAAGGAUCGUUAUGUCCUUCUUGUCAAAACUGAAGCAGUUGACAAUACUAGCACAAUCUGUUUCAAAAAUGACGUUAUCGGCUUUAAGAAAUUGAGCAAGCUGAAAACCAUUUAUGAGGGCAUCUACUUCCGCUUUAAUAUUGAUUUUUUAUUCUCAUUUUAUCAGUAUAUUUACAUUUGAAUUCAAAUACAUAUUCUAUAAUUAACUUUAAUCUCACUGUUACAAUACUUAACCUCACUAAAUUACUUGUUUAACAUGAUUAUGGUGAAUUUAUAGAAAGAACAAUCACGAAGCAAAUGCAGAUGCACUUAUGUUUAAAGUGUUAUUAAUGGAAAUUUUAUUAUUUUGAAAAAUAAAAGUAUAAUAACUUUUUUGGCAUUCCAACUUUAUAAAAGAAUUAUUUUAGCUCUAUAUUUAUUUUUCCUUCUCUUUUAGUCUUUAAACUUACAUUUUUCUGUCAAACCAUCCAAAAUGGGUGACAAAGUUAACGUUUGUUAACUUUGUUGACAUGACAUAUAGGUGGAUUACCACGUGUAUGUCACGUUAGCAAUUAAUUAUUUAAAAAUAUUUUCUUAUAAUUUUUUUAAUUUUUAAAAUAUAUUUUUUAAUUUUUUAAAAUUUUAAAAAAUAAUUACUGCUUAUGUGACAUAUACGUGGCAAUCCGUGUGUAUGUCACAUCAUCAACUUCAAAUCAUGCAUUUUACAUCUCAUAUUCCCAAUUCCAUAUUCUUCUACCUCUUGAAAGAAACUCCUUUCAACUAAAUCUUUAAAAUACCCAAAUCCGAUCUCCUCGAGAGAUUGACUUUGAUUCAAUUGCUUUAUGAAACCCUGUGCAAUCCAAAAUUGAACAAGCGCUUGUACUUCAAUUCUGUAAUCUUUUGGAUACAAUCGGCAAUAAGCAAAGCAAUGCUUCAAAUGAGACGGGAGAUGAUCAUAACUCAAUUUCAGUAUAGGUAGAAGUUCUCCUUCAAUUUGUGAUAUUUUAGCUAGUUCAUUUUCUUUGAAAGAAUGCCACUCAUUUGCAGUUUUCUUCAAAGAUAAUGUACCAGCUAUCGUCCUUAUGGCUAAGGGAACCCCACCACACCUUCCCGAAAUCUGUCUCCCCACUUCCACAAAGGCUGAAUUUGUUGAGUCUGCAUAUCCUUGCUCAAAUGCUAUCUUUUUGAACAAAGACCAAGCAUCAUCAUCAGACAAGCCUUUCAAUUUCAAAACAUGGAAUUGACAUUUAUUAGUUAUUAUUAUCCUACUCCCUUUAGCCCCACCCAUCAAUAACUUCUUUAGCCUACACCACUUUUCUGGGUCCUCAUUCCAAAUGUCAUCCAAAACAAGCAAAUAUUUUUUCCCAUCAAUUCUAUCUCGAAGUUGUUUUUGCAAUUGAUCCAUUUCAAGAUUUUGAUCAGGUGCUUGAUUAGUCACAGAUUUGAUAAUAUUUGCUACAAUAACUUUCACAUCAAAAUCAUCUGAAGCACACGCAAACAUCGUUAAGUCAAAAUUAUUUUUGACCAUAAUAUUUAUAUUUUAUUUUAUAUUUGUUUAAGUUCGGCCUGGUCCAAAAUAUAAAUUUAAAGUUUGUUCAAAUUUGUAAACAACUAACUCAAACUCAUUUUAAAUCCACUCAUAAUAUUUUUUAAAAAAUUAAAAUGUAUUUAUAUUAUUUUUAACUUAAUAUUUAAUAAUUUUACAUUUUUAUUAAAAUUUUAUAUAUAGUCAUCGUAACAUUAUAAUAGCAUUAUAAAUUUAAUUUUUAUUUUUUUACAAAUUACAUAAAAUAUAAAAGUAACAUAAUAUAAAAUUUUGCAAACUAAAAAAAUAAGUUGGGCCAAACUUAGGCUUUGGAUAUUCAAAUUUGAGAUCGACCUAUAUUUUAAACGGGCCUAUUUUUUGAAUUAAAUAGUUUUACCCAAAUUCUCCAAAAUUUCAAGUGAGUAAGUCUAGAUUGACUAAAUUUAUUAUACUCUUUCCCUUUUAUUUCCCUAUUGUUUUGGAUUAACAAUACAUUUAUUAAAACUUUAUUGCUUGUAUAGGGAUGAUUAUAUAUUAAAGUUUGACAAUGAUUGUACAAAGCUAUUUUAUUCAUAACCAAGUCAAGAAAUUGUCACUCCACACAGUUGUCUACUUUUUCAAAAUCUACUUUAAAAGAUAGCACCUCCCCUUCUUCACAUCUUUGAAUAUAGUUCACAGUUUCGUUUUUACUGGAGCACGAUCCAGGAUUUAUCAAUCUGAAAUAAAAGUAAAAUUGAAUUUUAUCGAUGGUUUUGAGCCGAGCUUCGAAUCUAUAUAGUCAAAAUAGUCUUACAUAAUGUACACAAGAUUGUCUGAUAAUUUAUUGUGUUUCCAUGUGUUGGAUUAUUAUUUGAAACCCCGAAACAGAAAAUUGUAUUUUUUUUUUUGAAGUUGACACACACAAAAGUAAAAAUAAAGGAGAAUAAAGAACACAACCAAGAUGUUUACGCAGUUCAGAACUCAUCCUACAUUUGUGAGCUUUGUCUAGAGAUAAAAUCGCUAUAAACUUCACAGUACAAUGAAAUUAUUUAUGCCCAACCCUCCAAACUUGAUGCAACCUCACCUUUGUACAAUUAAGUAAACACUCUUCCAACUUAGUGAAAAUCAACACUCAUAAGGUGGCACUCAAAUAAUAGUUACUCACUAAGUGUUCCUUUAAGUCCACAAAUCAUCUAUUUAUACAAGCUCCAAGAUCAGCUGAUGAAGAAUGCAUACAGAUAUGAUAGGUAAGUGCUUAAAUGAAGAAAGCAGAGCAUAUAGUACAACCAUUUUGAAGGCUUCAUAGGCCUCUCUCUCCACAUCAAUCAUUUUUUAGAAUUAAAUUAUUAGAAGCAAUUGUCAAGUUAUUGUUAUGAUUUAAAAGUAAAAAGCAAAUAGAUAAAUUAGCACUUCUUUUUAUGCAUAUAAAAUGAUUGAAGUUGUCUAAUGCCUUUCUCCAGUGCCUUACUGCACAAAUCAGCAAAAAUAUUAUGAAAGGUGAUAAGUAAAAAGUAGGAUUAAAACAAAGGGAUUUUAACAAGGAAAUUAACAGUAUCCAACUUGAAUGAAAAAUGGCAUCAGACCCCUGACUUGGAGAUUCAAUAUACCACUCUUAUUUUUCUUCAAAAAAAGAUAAGGUCGUCAAAAUAAAUAAAUAACAAAGACGGACCAACCUGUUACUACAAAAUGUGGGGGAUGUGAGCUAUCUUAUGCCAAUCAGCACCAAUGUCCUUCCGACAUCUUUCCUCCAACUGAGGAAUUCUUUUUAUUUCUAAAUACUCCAAACUGGUUAGGCAACGCAUCUCGUCCGGAAGAGAUGUUAAAUUGGGCAAAUUAACGAGAUAAAGCCGUUGCAGAUUUGUUAGAUGUUGAAGCCACUCCGGAAGAUGCCGACACUUUGGAAUAAUUUUCAGCCAUAGAGAGCGUAGGCUUGUAUGAUCUUGGAAUAUUUGGAUGCAAGCUCCAGAUAACUCCAGCUCCUUGCAGUCCUUUACUUCAAACUUUUCAAGGAAAGUGAGAUGUUGGAACACAGGAAGCAGUGACCUCAAUCCAUUGCAGUUAUGAAUUUCUAAUGUUUUCAGUUGAAAAAGAUGUUGAAGCCAAAUGGGGAGAGACACCAGCUUUGGAAUAUUAUCAAUCUCCAAAUGAGAGAGAUUCUGAAGGGGUUCCCAUUGCAUGCCCUCUAAAUCAACCUCCUUGCAAUCUCUUAUUGUUAAUCUUUUGAGGCUGGUGAGAUGUUGCAGGCACUCAUCUAGCGUGUGAGUGUCCAACCCCUCAAUGUUCUGUACAAGGAAAGAUUUCAAUUUGGAGAGUGGAAGAGAAGAGGUUGAAGUUGAUGGGGCCUUAGCAUUGAUGUUCAUUUUGAUAGUCUGCUUUAACGGCCUUGAACUGGUAUUCCACAACAUUAGCCCUUUAUCGAGUGAUGGAUACAGUGGCAUCAAAGUCAAAGGGAAAUUUAAAAUCCAUAAAUUGGAAAGACAAGGAAAUGCCAUGGUUGAUGUUCCCAUAACUGUUGUGUCGUCCUCGUUGGAAUCAUCAUCGAUUGGUUUUGUCAUCCUCCACCAACUCUUCAUAUUCGGGCAGCAAAAGAGCUGAAGAUGCUUAAGCGAUGGGAAGAAUGAUUGUGGUUCUCCUUGACUUCCUUUUGGGCUACUAUCAUCCAUGUACUCCAGCUUAGUACAAUCAUGUAUAUCCAGCACUUCAAGACAACGAAAUUGAGCAAAGGACGGGAGAUGUUUGAAAUUACUAUCACUUAUGUAAAUUCUGACGAGAUUUGUGAGCAAAGAAAGCCAACUCGGAAACUUGGCAUCACCCCUCCAUCCUCCAAUAUGGAGCUGCUUGAGAUUAGGAUGGGGCUGGAGGUCUUCAAGUGACUUCUCAUCAUCAUGGUUACGACCGCCCCCUAUUAAAUCCAACGCGCUCAAAUGUUGCUUCUCAUUCAAAUUAGCAGCCUUAAACUUCUCUUUUGCAUUUUUUACGAAUCCCAAAUUUGUUAUUGUUAGGCGUCCCCUUAAGUUGUUAAGCAGUCUCAAUUCACUUAGAUCUGCACCGCCAUGGGACCCAUCUUUAUCCACUACAAACUUGCUUAACGUCUCAAGUGAAGUCAGCUUCCCUAUUCCACGUGGCAUAUGAAGUCAGCUUCCCUAUUCCACGUGGCAUAUGAGUUAAACUAUCACAACCUUCACACCCAAGAUGGGUAAGAUUCACCUUUAUCCAACUUCCAUAUUUGUUAUUAGUAGUAGCAUUUUAUUUUUCUUUUAAAUAUACAUAUAUUUAUUAAGAAAGGAUCGAAGCUUUUAUUUUUCUUUUAAAUAUACAUAUAUUUAUUAAAAAAGGGUCGAAGCUUUUAACUUGUUUAUUAUUAGGGAAAAAAAUUAAAUUUAUACAUGAAUUUUAGUUAAAUGAGUAAUUUGAUACAUGAAUUUUGAUGUGGUAUAAUUUCCACAUGAAACUUGUAUUGUGGGUCAUAUAUAUAUAUAUAUAUAUAUAUAUAUACAUGAAAUUUUAAUUCUGAUUCAACUGUACACAUGUAAAAAAAUGCAUAUAUAUAUAUAGAUAUAUAUAUUACAUUGGAUUAAUAUAAUUGUUUGUCUAUGCAAUAUAUCAAAGUAAAAUGUAAGAGGUUGACUUGGCAUAUCCCAAAACAUUUUGUCAUAGCUUGGAUGGUCAUUCUCGACAAGUUGCCUAUCACUGGCGAAGCCUAGUAGAGACUCCUAAAAUGGUAAAUUUUUAAUUUAGACUUUUUAUAAUUUAUAAAAUUUUAAAUUAAUAAUGAUAAAAUUAUAAUUUAAUCCUCUAAAAAAUUAUAAAAAUUUAAUUUAACUCUUUAAAAAUUAUAAAAAUAUACUACUAUAAAAAUAUAUAAUUUAAUUCCGAAUAAAAAAUUUAGUUCAGCUACUAUUGCGUACAAAAGAAAAAUUAAUUUCGUUUUGGACCUAAUAUCGAGGGUGAUUGCAAACUGUGAGAUACAACACGUGGAGAGAUAUUGGUUUUAUGCAGCUCCAUGGGAAUGUAUUUUAUUAUACCAUCAUGCAGAUUGCUUCCAGUGCUCAUAUCUAUUUAAUUAUUUUAAUACACAUAAAAUUGUUUAUUGUGAGUUGGAUGAUUUUGGUUUAUUUAUUUAAGAUAUUUUAUUUUUAAAUAUAUUCUUAAUUAUUUAUUUUACAUAUACAUGUUUUUUAAUUUUUAAUUAUUUUAACUUAAUAUUUUUAAUAGUGAUUUUUUUAUAUAUAUAAAAAAAGGACCCAAAGGUCACUAUCUCAUUUUAAGUUGCACCAUAAAUUACAAUGUUAUGGAUAUCGCUAGGAUAAUUUAUCUCAAAAGAUAAAUUACAACACUUAAAAAGGGCCCAAUUACAAAGAAUUGGCUAAUUUGUUACAACCACGUUUCACCCAUUUGACCUUGGCGGAAACAAAAGAAUCAAGCCUCUUGUGAGCUCCUUGAUGAAGUGAUCAAUUAUCAUUAUGUCCUCCUUGUGAAAACUAAAGCGGUUGACAAUGCUAGCACAAUCUGUUUUAAAAAUAACAUUAUCGGCUUUAAGAAAUUGAGCAAGUUGAAAACAUUGAUGAGGGCAUCUAAUACCGCUUUAAUAGUGAUUUUUUAUUCUCAUUUUAUCGGUAUAUUUAUAUUUGAAAUAAAAUACAUAUUCUACAAUUAACUUUAAUCUCACUGUUACAAUACCUACAAUCCGCGUGUAUGUUACAUUAGCAAAAUCAACAUACGUUAAUUUUUCACUCAUUUUGGGGUGAUUUGACAAAAAUUACAAGUUUAAGAACUAAAAGAAAUGAAAAAUUAAAUGGAGAGUUGAAAUAACUUUUUUCUAUAAAGUUGAGAUCAAAAGAAUCAUUAUGGCAAAAAAAAAUAGUUGUUGUUCUUCUUCUUUUUUUUUUUUUUUGUAUUUUUUAGUGCUAAAAUUCAAGAUGGUGCGGAAUAGUUUCUAAUCUUAUUAUUGUUAUAUAUGUUUUCGACCCCACUAGAGCUAAUCUCACAGUCUAUAUAAAGAGAGCCUAAAUAUAAUUUGUUCAGCUUCUUUUAAACAUGUUAGUUCUCCUUUGUAUGAUCAUUUACCUCCCGUGAGUAGGGUUGAGUAAAUAAAAUAAAAAUAAUAAUUAAAAAUCGAUCCAAAUCAAGGUGUUUAGACGGUUUAUGGAAUAUAAAUUAAAAAAUCACAAUUAUUCAAAAUCGAAUCAAAUUUUAUUCUUUAUUUUAAUUUAUAAAUAAAUUUAUUUUUAUAAUAUAAAAAUAAAUAUUUUAUAUUUAAAAAUAGUGAAAAUAAAUAAAUAUAUUUUAAAAAUAUUAUAUAAAAGUAUUUAAUUAUUUUUAUCUACUUAAAAUAAUUUUAAAAAAUAUCUAUGAAAAAAACUUUGAAAAUUUGUCAAAUGAUAUUUAAAAGCCGUAAAAUAAAGUUUAUUUUAUUAAAAUAAUUAUAAAAAUUUAUAAUAACAAAAUCGAACUAAACUAAAUUAUAAUGGACGGAUAAAAAAAUAGAAUCGAAUUAAACUAAUAUCACUUGAUUUUAUUGCACCAAACUGGACAUAAAGGAUCUUCUUAAAAAAUUUAACCUGCAAUGAGAUUGUUUUCCUCACUAUAACCUUCUAGAGGUGUUAUAUAAGUACAUAUCAUAUGAUAAUUAUAAAUUUAAUUAUUUAAUUCUUAUAAAAAUUAAAUAUAUUACAAAUUAAUAUUUAUAUAAUAUAUAUUAAAUACAUGUAAAUUUAUAAUCAUAAAUAUAUUUUUAAUUAUUAUUUGAUAUAAAUAAUUUUAUUAUAUUUUAUUAUUUUCAUUUAUAUAAAAUAUAGUCCUUGAAUGUUGAAGUCUAAACCCAACCCUUAAACAAAGGAAUUAAAUUUAAAGUUGAGAAAGAUAUGGAUGGUAGGAAUGGGAGCAUAAGCAUGUAGAAGCAAUGGUGGCAUUUCAUCUUAUUAGCAGCUUUGGAAUAGAUUGUUAAGGAUGAGUAGGAAUCUGUAUGCUUAACCAUUAACCCAAACAUAUCGUAGAGAUUGAUUGUUCGCUUGUCAAAAUAUUAUACUAACAAAUUAGGCAUAAUCACUUAUUUAGCUCUCCAGCUUUAUAAUAAAAAAUUAUUUUAGUCAUUCAUUUAAAUUUUUGUCUCUUUUAGUCUUUAAACUUGUAUUGUUUAUUAAACCAACCCCAAAAUAAAUGAAAAAAUUAACAUUUAUUAACUUUGUUGAUGUGGCUUCCACAUGGAAGCCAAUGUGUAUGCCACAUUAGCAAUUGAUUAUUUUUUUAAAAAAUUUUAAAAUAGUUUUUAAUAAUUUUUAUACUUUUUAGAACUUUUAAUAAGUUGUAUACUUUUUUUUUAUAUUUAAAACAUUAGUUAAUUGCUAAUGUGGCAUGCAUGUGUAUGCCAUGCAAUUUUAAGGACUAAAUUGAUUUUUUCAUAAAGUUAGAAGGUUAAACAAAUCAUUAUGCCAAAAUAUAAUAUAGAAUUUAUAAAAAUGAAAAUAUUUAUAUUUAUAUUUUAUAUUUGUUUAAGUUCGGCCUGGUCCGAAAUAUAAACUUAAAAUCUGUUCAAAUUUGUAAACAGUUAACUCAAACUAAUUUUAAAUCCACUCAUACUAUUUUAAAAAAAAUUAAAUGAAUUUAUAUUAUUUUUAACUUAAUAUUUAAUAAUUUUACAUUUUUAUUGAAAUUUUAUAUAUAGUCAUCUUAAGAUUAUAAUAGUAUUAUAAUUUUUAUUUUUAUUUGUUACAAAUUACAUAAUAUAUAAAAUUAACAUAAUAUAAAAUAUUGCAAACUUAAAAAUUGGGUCGGGCCAAACUUAGGCUUUGAAUAUUCAAAUUUAAGCUCGACCCAUAUUUUAAACGGGCGGCCUAUUUUUUGAAUUUAAUAGUUUUACCCAAAUCCUCUAAAAUUUAAAAUCAACCUUUCAGCUUGACAAAGAACAGUAAGUCUCUUUCCCUUUUCUUUCCCUAUUGUUUUGGAUAAACAAUACAGUAAGAUCAGCUGAUGAAGAAUGCAUACAGAUCGACUUUCAACAAAGAAAAAGAAAGAACAAAUGUGCAUAGAGAGGAGGAUUUCAUGGGAGCACAAUGCCAUGGACAGAUCAGCUGAUGAAGAAUGCAUGUCCUGCUUUUUGGCUCUUCCAUUGAACUCAUGCUGAAAAAGAAGCAGCUUUGUUACGAGGUUAUAUUAGAUCAUUUGAAAUUAUGAGAUUAUUAUGAUUUUAAAAAUGUAGAGCAAUUAAGUAAUUACCACCAGUUUUUCUGCAUCUAAAUUCUUAAAGUUGUCAAAUGCCUUUCAGAAAAAUGCAUGCCAAUCGAAUAUGUGGGCAGAUAAACAAAUGAGGGAAGAAAGUACGAUCUCUGCUUUUUGUAUUACAUGCUAUGCUCUGCCGAAGAAUAAAGCCAAAAGCUAACAAAAAUGAAGGGUAAAAAGAUCAAAAAUUUCAAGAUAAAACAUAAAAUUGUAUGUAAAUAUGAUUAAGAUUUAAAAUUGGAAAAUGAACAAAGCAGAGCAUGAAGUAGAAGCAUAUUGAAGGCUGGCAUGCAAGCAUUUUGGAAAAUGUCCAUUGGGUACCAAUAAAGAUUUUUUAGAAUUAAAGUAUUAGAAGCUAUGAAAUGAUAGAUAUGAGCCACCAAAAUGCUUCACACUAAAUCUAAAUUAUUCAAUUUUGUUUUAUGGAAUCAAAUAGAAAAUAAAUGAGUGGCAUGAAUUACCUGUCAUUCCUUGUUGGUAUUUGGUGUAAGCUGCAAUUUCAAAUGUGUAUACACAGAUGGAUUUCAUCAGAUCAUUUCGAUGGUGAGAUUAAUAUAAUUUAAAAGCGUAAAGCAUUUAGCUAGAUUACCACUUUUUUUUUCUGCAUUUGAAUUCUUGAAAUUGCCAAAUUCGUUUCACUAAAAGUCUUCGAUGCUUACUGCACAAAAUAGCCAAAUAAAAUGAUAAAUGAAGAAAUUGCACCCAAAGCUUGUUCUAUUUUGGCAAAAGAGGCUGUAGUUGGAGAGUCAAUAUACCAACCUGUAGCGAUAUGAGCAAUCUUAUGCCAAUCCGCACCAAUCCCCUUCCGACAUCUUUCCUCCAACUGAGGAAUUCGUUUCAUAAAGAACUCUUCCAAACUGGUUCUCGUCCGGAAGCGAUGUUAAAUUAGGCAAAUCAGAGAGAAUAAGCCUUGGCAGAUUUGUUUGAUGUUGAAGCCACUCCGGAAGAUGGCGACACUUUGGAAUCUUUGCCAGCGCUAGAGAGCGCAGGCUUAUAUGAUCUUGGAAUAUUUGGAACUUAGGUGCAGAUAACUCCAGCUCCUUGUGUCACGGACUUGGAGUUUUCCCACACAUCCGUGCGGCCUUAGGCAGUUUCUUGGCUUAAAAACGCCUAAGUCAGCCUAACUUCCACCGAUAAAGGAUUCAACAGCAAAAACGCCUAAGUCAGCUCAACUCGCAACAAUAAAGGAUUCAACAGAAUUCCCUUAAAGUUUCCACGAAGAACAGCGGAAGAACGAAAUAAGAACGAUCUUUGGAAGAUGAACAAAAGCAAGAACACUUGAGAGAAAAGUUUGAGUAAAUGCUCUCAAUUCUUAUUCACAAAGAAUAAUGAAACAAUUCAGGAGUGAGUACAAAUGAGGGGGAGGCUCUCUAUUUAUAGUUGAGCUCCCCCAAAACCGAUGGCUACAAUUAAAAGCUGUAUUCGAUUAGGACUCUAAGUUUACAGAAUUAGAAGCUGUGAACAAUUAGAACUUCUAAGACUACAUAGUCCUAUCUUCAUUAUCGGGCCCAUCAGGCUUCAAUCUGACAGGCCUGUCCAACAGCUCUUUGAAUCGGGCCAGUUCUCGUAGGCCAAAUGAUCCCCAUCUGAGCAACAGACCUCCAUUGGAUGCAUUUGGUGCGCUGGUCACGGGCUUUAAACUGCGGCCCGUGACAUUUUCCCCCACCCAUUCUCGCAACGCCCUCGUUGCGACUUCUGAAUGGCACUGACUUGAUUCGCCUCGGUCUCGUCUCGUCGCCUUAGCCUUUCCCUUUCUUCGGGAUUUUUGCCUCGGCUUCUGUUGCUUCUUAACUCGAGCCAUCCUACUCGUCGCAUUUACUCUGGUCAACUGUCCCACAUGCAUCGCUUCUUUUCCUUUGAAGUCUGAUGCACCACCCACCUCUCCCAUAGGUGGAAGCCUUGUCGAUGACUCGGCCAACUCCGACGCUUCACUCAACUUGAGCCUCAUUGGUUUCAGCUUCACUGUUUUCAUCGCAACUCUUUCCUCUAAGUUCGAUGACAAACUCACCUCUUCCUUGGGUGGAAGCCCCUUCGAUGACUCACCAAGCUCAGACGUUGCCUUUCUUUUGACUCCGGCUUGCUUUGGACAGUUCCGCAACUCAUGCGGACCACGGCACAAGAAGCACUUAACUCGCUUAUUUUUGCUCCUCUUUGCCCUCUUGGCUUCGGCUUUACCCUUGCUCGAACCAAGCUUCUUGGGUUCCUUGUCUGCUCCAUCGUUCCCCUCGAUGACAGACUUCUUCGGACACUUCCGCCUUUGUUCGAACUCUUCUUUCGACAUCCCAACGGUGCCUUUGAACCAACAACUCGAAUAUUACUUGGUUCAAACCUUGGCUCGGAUACCACUUGUCACGGACUUGGAGUUUUCCCACACAUUCGUGCGGCCUUAGGCAGUUUCUUGGCUUAAAAACGCCUAAGUCAACCUAACUUCCACCGAUAAAGGAUUCAAUAGCAAAAACGCCUAAGUCAGCUCAACUCGCAACAAUAAAGGAUUCAACAGAAUUCCCUUAAAGUUUCCACGAAGAACAGCGGAAGAACGAAAUAAGAACGAUCUUUGGAAGAUGAACAAAAGCAAGAACGCUUGAGAGAAAAGUUUGAGUAAAUGCUCUCAAUUCUUAUUCACAAAGAAUAAUGAAACAAUUCAGGAGUGAGUACAAAUGAGGGGGAGGCUCUCUAUUUAUAGUUGAGCUCCCCCAAAACCGAUGGCUACAAUUAAAAGCUGUAUUCGAUUAGGACUCUAAGUUUACAGAAUUAGAAGCUGUGAACAAUUAGAACUUCUAAGACUACAUAGUCCUAUCUUCAUUAUCGGGCCCAUCAGGCUUCAAUCUGACAGGCCUGGCCAACAGCUCUUUGAAUCGGGGCAGUUCUCGUAGGCCAAAUGAUCCCCAUCUGAGCAACAGACCUCCAUUGGAUGCAUUUGGUGCUCUGGUCACGGGCUUUAAACUGCGGCCCGUGACACUUGCAGUUACUUAUUGCAUGCCCUCUAAAUCAACCUCCUUGCAAUCUCCUAUUGUCAAUUUUUUGAGGCCGGUGAAAACAGAUUAAUGGAAACCUUGUAGUUUUCAAAGGUGAAUAAAUAAGGACAAUUAAGAUUGGUGUUAACAAUUUUUACUAAUAUUUUGAAAACAUUUUAAAUAAGUUAAUAUAUAUAAUAUAAAAAAUCUAUAAAAAUUUUAAAAUUCAAUUAUUGUAAUAUAAAACUUUCAUAUCUAAAAACUCUAACUUAAAUUAAACUAUUUCAAUUGAAUCCAACAAACAAAUUGGACCGAAAACCAAUUAAUAUGAUUGGUUCGGCCACCUCUUAACCAGAACAACAUUAGUAUGUGAAUUUAAUUUCGUAUUUAUUUAAUUUGGUUAGCACAUAUUAAUAGUUUUCAUAUUCUCUUUAGUUUUUGUAUUUUGGGAUUGUGUAAAAUUUAAAAUUUUAGAUAUUUUUAUGUUCAUAUUUUCUUUUAUAAAUAUAUAGGGGUAAGCUCUCACUAAUUUUCUCAAGCUUUUAGGAGUUCCUUCUAUUGAAGCAAUAUCAUGAGCGAAUCUAUAAUCAAUAUAUAUGAGAAAGAAAAAAAUAUAAAAAAAGUAAAAUAAAAAAAUAAAAAUAGACUUGAACACUUAUGGAUGUUCAAUUUAUAAUAAGCUUAGGUAAAAGGGUUAAAAUAAUCAAACUAUUGUCUAACUCAUGCUAUGAAAAAGAAAUCACAAUUAAAAAAAGAAUAUCGUAUGCUUCAAUGAAAGUCACAAUUUAUCUUUGAUCAUGCUUGUUCGCAACUAAGUAGCUAUAAUGUAACUACAUGUUCCUACAGACCUCGCUCUAGUUGACUUUGCCCUAUGAUCCUUUAGCCGAAUUUGUGAUGUCUAUAUUUUAAUAUGCGAGGUAUUUAAAAAAAUAGAUACAUCAAUUUAUUUUUGUAGUGGGUGAAUAUAAUUAUUUAUUUAUGCAAUAUAUAAACAUAAAAUGAUGUCAUAUUAAUAAUUUAUGAAAAUUAGAUCAAAUUAAAAUUUCAUGUAUAAAAUUACAUAUUAUGCCAAAGUUUAUAUAUAGUUUUGAGAUUUAUCCCAUUUUCCUAUUAACUUAGCCAUUAGCUUGAGCAUUAAAUGUUCGCUCAAAUAUGAUAGGGGACAUACUUAAAACACAUGUGUACAUGCUAUAUAGGCAACUUGAAUCUAAUGUGUUAAAAAAAGAAGAAGAAGAAAUAAUCCUCUUAAAAUUUAUAAUCUCGUCGUAUUUUUAAUAUGUUAUAAUCAAGUUAUCAAUAUGAUGAGUCCACAAGUAUUUACAAUUUAAUCCAUGUCAAAUGAGAACAGAAAUUUAAAAUCUAAAUUGAUAGCUACAAAAAUGAAAUGAUUUUAUUGUUAUAAUAUUAAUACUUUCAAAACUUAAUUAAAAUAUUUUAAAAUUUACAAAUUAAUUCUAAAACAAUAUUUAAUAAAUUGAGAAUAUUUAAUACAAAUAACUUCUUAUUUGAAUAUAAAUAAUUAUAACACAUUUAUUAUUAAAUGAAAAUAAUAUUGUUUGGUUGGAAAUGGUCCCACCGUGUUUUACGUUUGGGGAACAAAGCGACGGCGUUUUAGUUGGAGAAGAAGGGAGUAACGUUGUUAAGUACAUCAUUUUGUUUAUUUUCGUUUUAAAUUUGUUUUCUCGUUUUCUAUUUGAUGCCGUUAAUAUUCUUUUUUGGGUAAACUAUAUUAAAAGUCAUUCAACUAUUUUAAAAAGUACAAAAUGAUCACCAAAUUAUUAGUAAUUUCUUUUAUCUAAUUAUGAAAAGUUACAAAAUAAUCAAUAAACUGUUAUUUUUUUCCUUUUCUUUCACCCAACUAUCUUGGAUUUUUUGGUAUUUUCUAUUUUUUCAUUAGCCAACUAAUGAUAAAAAUGAUAAAAUUGAAUCGUUGGGAGACUAUUUUGUAACUUUUCAUAAUUGAGUAACCAAAAAGGAAAAAAAAAACUUAGUUGGGUGACUACUAAAGUAGGUUACCCUUUUUUAGGUUAAAAUAUGCCAUAUGUCCUUGUACUCGCCAUAAAUUUGAAAUUUAGUCUCUAUACUUGUAUUUAUAGGAAUUUAAUUCUUUUACUUUUUAAAGUUCAAAUUUCAGGUCCAAUUGUUAAUACUGUUAAAUUAACCAUUUAAUGAUAGAGGGACUAAUUUGUAUGCAGUCCCUACAGUACCGGUACUUUAACCCUUAUAUAUAUAUUUGAAUUUUAUUUUAGGAUUAAAUUGAAAAUUUGAAAAAAGUAAGAGUUCAAAAAGGUAAAAACAAAUGAAAUUAGCACAUUAACUUACAAUUAUAUACCCUUUCUUUUCCCUCCUUUUCUACUCUAUAUCUCUCUAAUGUCAGAACUAAAACCCUCAUUUUCUCUCCCUUCCUAUUUCCCUAUUGCAAUUAUACCCACCUCGUUUCCCCUCAAUAUCAUAAACCUCCAUGUUCGGGAUGGUCUUAUGCUGCCGUAUUAACCUCCUCCUACGGCUUCAACAGUACCAGCUUCGACGGUUCCUCCGGUUGUUCCGCCGAUACGUCGUCACCUGGCCUUCGAUUCGACGAAGCCGCUGUUUGUUCAUCCCGAUGAUUAUCACAGAUUUUCAUCUAGUAAUAGUCGUGGAAUCGUCACCGAUCAGGAAGUUGAAGCUGAACAUUUAAUGCUGUGCUCUAUAUGAAGAAAGCUUGAUGGGUGUUAGUUCUUUUGAUGUUUGUAGAAUAAUAAAAGAAAACUUCUCAAGUUUAUUGGAUGCUAACAUAUUGUUAUAUACAAGCAAGGAAAGGAAGUAACAGAAAGUAACAGAAAAAUAACUACUAACUGACUAACAAGAAAUUAAUUUAAAACUAUAUGACUAAUAGCCCCCCUCAAGCUGGAGAGUGAAUGGGAAACAGUCCCAGCUUGGACAAAAUAAGCUGGAAGGGAACAGCAGGCAGAGCUUUGGUGAAGAUGUCAGCAAGCUGGUCUUUGGAAGAAUAAGGAAGCAAUUUGACAACACCGGACAACACUUUUUCACGAACAAGAUGACAGUCGAUCUCAAUAUGUUUAGUACGUUCAUGAAACGUAGGGUUUGCAGCAAUUUAGAGAGCAGAAUUGUUGUCGCAAAAAAAAGCAGUAGGCCCAGAAAUAGACAGAUGCAAAUCAGACAGAAGAAAUCGAAGCCACUGAAUUUCACAAACAGUAGAUGCAAGAGCCCUAUAUUCUGCUUCUGAGGAAGAGCGAGACACGGUGCUUUGCUUCUUGGCUUUCCAACUAACAAGGGAAUCUCCAUAAAAUAGGUAGUAACCAGUCACGGAGCGACGUGUGAGAGGACAACCAGCCCAAUCAGAGUCACUAAAUGCCUUCAGUGUAGGCGAAGAAGAAGCAGAAAAGAAAAUACCAAAGUCAAUGCAUCCUUUCAGGUAGCGAAGAAUGCGAUGGGCAGCUUGAAGGUGAGUGACUAUAGGUCGGUCCAAGAAUUGACUUAACUGUUGAACAACAAAAGCAAGAUCAGGUCUAGUAGAAACCAAAUAUAAUAGGCGUCCAAUAAGUUUUCUGAAAAUAGUGUUAUCAGGAAGUAAUUCGUCAGAAGCAUCGCGAGGGAUUUUAGUAACCAUAGGAGUUGUAACAGGCCUGCAAUCUGAGAAACCAAAAUCAGCCAGUAGAUCGAGAGCAUAUUUUUGCUGGCAAAGAUGAAUACCAGCAAAACUACGAGCAACUUCAAGGCCAAGAAAAUACUUGAGAUCCCCCAAGUCUUUGAUGCUAAAGGCAGAAUGCAAAAAGGCUUUUACCCGUGUGAUUUCUUCCAAAGAAUCACCAGCUAGAAUAACAGCAUCAACAUAAACCAAUAAGGCAGUAAAGGAAAUUUCAUCCUUUUUAACAAACAGAGAAAAAUCUGAAGUAGAUUGAACGUAACCAAUUGUAGUGAGAGCUGCAGUGAGUUUGGCAAACCACUGUCGACUAGCCUGCUUGAGACCAUAUAAUGAUUUUUGCAACUUACAAACCUUAUGGGAAGUGGAGGAAGCAAAACUAAGAGGCAAAAACAUAUAAACUUCUUCAGUCAAAUCUCCAUGCAGAAAUGCAUUGUUAACAUCAAGCUGGUGCAAAAACCAGUCUUUGGAAGCAGCAAUAGCAAGCAAUAAUCGAACAGUAGUAAUCUUGGCCACAGGGUAAAAAGUAUCAAAAUAAUCAACACCCUCAGUUUGUGUGAAACCUUUAGCAACCAAACGAGCCUUGUAACGCUCAAUAGAACCAUCGGCUCGAUAUUUCACACGAUAGACCCAUUUGCAACCGAUUGCAAUUUUGCCUGAAGGUAAGUCCAUAAUGAUCCAGGUGUUAUUUUGUUCAAGAGCAGAAAUUUCAGCUUGCAUUGCUUCUUGCCAAUGGGGAAUUUUGCUAGCUUGUAAAUAGGUUGUAGGUAUGGGAGAAGCAUUGAUAGCAAGAGUAAUAGGUGUGGCGCAUCGAAGAUGAUUGGCAACAGUUUUGCUGGAAAAGCAGUGAUACUGGUCUAAAUAUGAAGGAGGUUUCCUAAGACGAGGUGGCCUAGAGGGUUGUAAAGGAACGGGAGGUGAGGGUUGUGAUUGAAUUGGCAAGUCAUAGGUAAUGGUGGGGUCAAAGGUUAACUGUGGGAUGGAAGAGGAAGAAGAUGGUUGUUGAGAAAAAGGGAAAACGGACUCAUGGAAAUGGACAUUUUUGGAUAUAAAAAUGGCAUGGGUUGAUAGAUCAAAAAGAAUAUAGCCUUUGACAUGAGGUGGAAAACCAAGAAAGACACACUCACGUGCUCGAGGAUCCAACUUAUGACGAUGAGCAGUAAGAGUGGUUGCAAAACAAAGACAGCCAAAGACACGGAGGUGCUGAAAAGAUGGCUUAGUUUGGUAUAACUUGUCAAAAGGGGUAAGGUUAGCCAAAAUGGGAGUAGGGGUACGAUUAAUAAGAAAAACAACAUGAAGAAUAGCAUGUCCCCAAAAAUGCUUAGGCAAAUGAGAAUGAAAUAAGAGAGCCCGUGCAACAUUAAAAAUGUGUUGGUGCUUGCGUUCUACAAGACCGUUUUGUUGUGGGGUUUCAACACAUGUAGUUUGAUGAAUUGUGCCUUUGGAAGCAUAAAAGGCUAGAAUGGCAAACUCACAACCAUUGUCAGAUCGAAUGACUUUAAUUUUAGAUGAAAAUUGAGUUUCAACAAGUGUGAAAAAAUUCUGAAUGUGAGUACGAACUUCAGAUUUUGCUUUCAAUAAAAUAAUCCAAGUAAAGCGACUAAAAUCAUCAACAAUGGUUAAAAAAUAACGAUGACCAGUAAUGGAAAUAACAUCAGUUGGACCCCAAAUAUCAACAUGAACAAGUUCAAAAAUUUUAUUGGAAAUGGAAGUGCUUACAGGAAAAGAUAAUUUCUUUUGUUUGGCCAAAUGGCAGGCUGUACAAGGUGCAUUAUUUGACAAAGACAAAGAAGGAAUGUAAGGGAAAAGUAGUUUUAGUCGAGAAUCAGAAAGAUGACCGAGACGAUGAUGCCAAAGGGAACAUGAAGAUGUGUUGGCUGACAAGGCAAUGGGAGCAGAAAUGGAAAAAGUUUGAGCUGGGAAAUCCAAAAUAUAAAGACCAUGGAGCACUCUAGCUGUACCAAUCAUAUUCGAAGAAGGAAGAGCCUGUAUAGAACAAUGAUUUUUAUGAAAAGUAAAGGAACAAGGUAAUAUAGCAGUGAGUUUAGUAACAGAUAAAAGAUUAAAGGUAAAUUGAGGAACAUAGAGAACAUUAGUAAUGUAAAGACUAUUAUUGAAAAUGACUGUACUAGAAAUUCGAGCACAAACUUUAGUGCCAUUUGGAAGGUUGAUGUAUAUAGGUUUAAUGGAAUGAAAAGAAGCAAAAAAUGAUAAAGAGUGAGCAAUGUGAUCAGUGGCACCUGUGUCAAUGAUCCAAUGAUGGGAUUGAAGAGAAAAUAGGUUACCUGAGGAUGGGAAAGGGUUCGGUUGUGAGGAAGAAGCAGUAUUGGUAACAUGAGGUGGGGAGGUAGAUGCUGGAAGUAAUGCAAGUAGCUGUUGCAACUGAUCUUGUGUCAAAGUAACAGAAGGAUCAGAUGGCAAAAUAUCAACAUGCUGCGAAGAGUCCAAAGGUUGUGAAGCACAAUCAUUAAGCGCUGUAUGUGCACAAGAGGCCCGACCUCGAGACUUGUAACCAGGUGGAUAUCCAUACUUUUCAUAACAAGUAUCAACAGUAUGCCUAGAUUUGCCACAGAAGGUACAUUGCCAUGAAUCAGUAAAUGAUUUAGCCUGAGGUUUCUUUGAAGAACUGUGGUGGCGCAGUGUGUUGCUAACAAACAACUGAGAUGAGCCAGUAGGAAGGUGACGUUCUUGUUGAAUAACCAGGGAAAAUACUUUGUUGAUUGGAGGCAAGGGAUCAAUAAGCAUGAUUUGAGAACGAACAGCAGCAAAUCGAUCAUGAAGACCUUUAAGAAAACGAAUAACGUAGUCGUUAUCAUGAUAUUUCUGGAGAGUGACAAAAACACCGCAAGAGCAAGAUGGUGAACAAGAACAAACUGGAAUUGGUCGAAAAUUCAUCAACUCAUCCUAGAGAAUUUUUAACUCAGUAAAGUAAUCAGUAACGGAACGAUCAUCUUGCUUGAAAGCAUUGAUCUCUUCUUGGAGAGCAGAAAUGCGGAAAACAUCACUUUGAGAAAAGCGUUCACGAAGUCGGGCCAAAGAACACUGUUCAUGAUCGAGGGCGAGAUGGAAUGGUGCAACCAAGAAAGCACCAUAGUGUUACAUCGUUCCCAGGCAGAAUAAAGAGGAUCCGUUCGAGGUGGAACCGUGAUGGUGCCGUCAACAAACUGAAGCUUGUUCUUGGAUAGAAAUGCCAUUGUCAUAGCUCGAGACCAAGAGUGAUAGUUUGAGCUUGAUGAGACAGGAGAAACAAGAACCAAAGCUGGAUUUUCAUUUGGAUGCAGAUAGUAUGGGCUAGAAGGCAGCAUAGUAUCAUGAAAUGCCAUUGGAAGAAAAGGGAAUCAAGAAUGCAGAUUAUGGAGAAAGCAAAAUAUAACGUCUGAUACCAUGUAGAAUAAUAAAAGAAAACUUCUCAAGUUUAUUGGAUGCUAACGUAUUGUUAUAUACAAGCAAGGAAAGGAAGUAACAGAAAGUAACAGAAAAAUAACUACUAACUGACUAACAAGAAAUUAAUUUAAAACUAUAUGACUAAUAAUGUUUUGUCUUUGAUGGAUGUUUGAAAAAUGAUUCAGUUGAUAUCCAUAAUGUCUAUCACUAUAGUUUCCCCCUUAUGCAUAAUUCGACUGCUCUGCUAGUUUUGUCGGACAAAAUUAUAUUCGCAUAUUAUAUUCUUUUUCUUUAUUGUCUUCAACGCGAUAACAAGUGAAUUACUAGUUACUUUACUUGAUUUUUUCAUGGCAUUUAUCUCUUUGAGUUUUGGCCUUUGUGAAUUAACUUUUGAAUCAAGUAACGAAGCAUUUCUGAUGGUUCUUAUGGCUAACAGUAAGUUUUCUUGUACAAGCUGUCGCACUUAUGCAUUUGUUAAACUUAUGCUCUUUUUUAUUUUAUUUUCUUCAAUUCAAUUGGUUGUUAACGUUGAUAUAACCGUGCACAAAUACUAAGGGACCUUGUAAUUUUGCCUGCCAUUGCCAGUACUUCGAAAUAUUGCUGAUUUUUCUCAGCAAUUAAAAAGGAAGAGCGCAGCAGACAAAAAUGAUGUUGAGUCUAGCCAAUGGACAAGCAGUCCGGGGGUUACCUGUAUAUGGUAAAGGAGGAAGGAUAAAUAAUAGAUCAAAGACAUCAAAAGCCAAUAAAUCAAUGCCUCACACACCUGUGUCAAAUGCUGGUGCGAUACUAUUUCCUACUGGCUUUGUCCAUAGAAGGAAACUUAUGAUUCACCCCACGGCUCUAUCAUCAAUGCCUCAUUGCUCGAAUUAAGAGAGAUGGAUUUUGUAGAAGAGGAAUCACUGACAUUAUAAAUGAUAAUUGGCAGGUUGUCCAUCUCCUCUUACACCUGUGGCAGCUGCUGUUUAGAUAGUCCUUUAGUUAAUCUUUACUGCCCAUUCUUUUUUCUUUUACUAUAGUCUGUUUUAGCUCCUUAACCUGCUAUGGAUGGUGAGAACGACAAUAAUGCAGUCCCCAUUUUUAGGUCUGUUGACGAAAAAGUUUGUCAAUCUGAUGAAGCAUGCUGAUUUGUCAAUCUGAUGAAGCAUGCUGAAGAUGGUAUCCUUGACCUAAAUAAGGCUGCAGAAACAUUGGAGGUAAUGAAAUACUAGCGAGCUUAUGUAUCAUUGGGUGUUUGUUGAGUAUUUUUUUCAUGUUACUUAAAGGGUUCUUUUGUCCUUUAUUUUUCCCUGUAAAUGUUGUAACAGGUGCAGAAGAGGAGGAUAUAUGAUAUAACAAAUGUCUUGGAGGGCAUCCCUUCAUCUGAAUACUGUUUGGAACCCUAAAAAAACAUAAAUGUGUUUUUUCCUGAGAUGGCACGUAUUUUGCAAUAAGAAAAAUAAAGAGUACAAUUAAAAUGUUUAUGCAGUUCGGAACUUGUCCUAUGUCUGCGGAGCUUUGCCCAAAGAUGAAUCCACUAUGAACUUUAUAGUACAAAGAAAUGAUUUAAGCUUAACCCCUCAAACACUUUAUGCAAAUUCUCACUUUUGUACAAUUAAGUAAAUUCUCUCCCAACUCAUUUUAGCUAUGCAAGUGAAAAUUCACAUUCAACACUCACAUGAUUUUCCUACUAUGAAUAAGUUCUUAAUAAGCUCCAUAUAAGUGGAAUAAUAAAUUUUCAAAUGCAAUAUGUCUGGGAAUUGUCAUGCUUGAACAACGACUCUUCCAAAAGCAUCAAUGAAUCUGAAAAUUAUAAAUGCCAACAUAGAAUAUGUUACAAAUCCCGUUAUUAUCAGCCUUAUAUUUACACAUAUGUCUGUUUAGUAUAAUGCUGUUGAUAUAUAAAUAAUGAAACAUUUUAUCAACUUCAACCUCACCACCAAAUAUUCUGAAGCAUUUUCCUUUUUUUCCUGUUUGGACCUUCAAUAACAAAUUUGGCUGGAAUUCCAAACAGCUAAAAGAGUGCCCUGCAUCAAUGAAUAUUAAGAUGGUAAGCAAAAACAUAAAUAUAUAUAAAGAUAUGAUAGGUAAGUGCUUAAAUGAAGAAAGCAGAGCAUAUAGUACAACCAUUUUGAAGGCUUCAUGGGCCUCUCUCUCCACAUCAAUCAUUUUUUAGAAUCAAAAUAUUAGAAGCAAAUAGAUGAAUUAUCACCUCUUUUUAUGCAUAUAAAAUGAUUGAAGUUGACUAAUGCCUUUCUCCAAUGCCUUACUGCACAAAUCAGCAAAUAUAUUAUGAAAGAUGAUAAGUAAAAAGUAGGAUGAAAACAAAGGGAUUUUAACAAGGAAAUUAACAGUAUCCAACUUCAAUGAAAAAUGGCAUCAGACCCCUGACUUGGAGAUUCAAUAUACCACUCUUAUUUUUCUUCAAAAAAAGAUAAGGUCAUCAAAAUAAAUAAAUAACAAAGACAGACCAACCUGAUAUGACCCAAUGUUGGGGAUGUGAGCAAUCUUUUGCCAAUCAGCGCCAAUGUCCUUCCGACAUCUUUCCUCCAACUGAGGAAUUCCUUUUAUGUGUAAAUACUCCAAACUGGUUAGGCAACGCAUCCCGUCCGGAAGAGAUGUUAAAUUUGGCAAAUUAACAAGAUGAAGCCGUUGCAGAUUUGUUAGAUGUUGAAGCCACUCCGGAAGAUGCCGACACUUUGGAAUAUAUUCCAGCCGUAGAGAGCGUAGUCUUGUAUGAUCUUGGAAUAUUUGGAUGCCAGCUCCAGAUAACUCCAGCUCCUCGCAGUUCCUUACUUCAAACUCUUCAAGGAAAGUGAGAUGUUGGAACACAGGAAGCAGUGACCUCAAUCCAUUCCAGUUAUGAAUUUUUAAUGUUUUCAAUUGAACAAGAUGUUGAAGCCCAAUGGGGAGAGACACCAGCUUUGGAAUAUUAUCAAUCUCCAAAUGAGAGAGAUUCUUAAGGGGUUCCCCUUGCAUGCCCUCUAAAUCAACCUCCUUGCAAUUUCGUAUUGUUAAUCUUUUGAGGCUGGUGAGAUGUUGCAGGCACUCAUCUAGCGUGUAAGUGUCCAACCCCUCAAUGUUGUGUACAUCGAAAGAUUUCAAUUUGGAGAGUGGAAGAGAAGAGGUUGAAGUUGAUGGGGCCUUAGCAUUGAUGUUCAUCUUGAUAGUCUGCUUUAACGGCCUUGAACUGGUAUUCGACAACAUUAGAUCUUCACCGAGUGAUGGAUACAGUGGCAUUAAAGUCAAAGGGCAAUUUUGAAUUGUUAAAGAGGAAAGACAAGGAAAUGCCAUGGUUGAUGUUCCCAUAACUGUUGUGUCGUCCUCGUUGGAAUCAUCAUCGAUUGGUUUUGUCGUCCUCCACCAACUCUUCAUAUUUGGGCAAUCCUCGAGGUUAAGAAGCUUAAGCGAUGGGAAGAAUGAUUGUGGUUCUCCUUGACUUCCUUUUGGGCUAUUAUCAUCCAUGUACUCCAGCUUAGUACAAAACAUAAUAUCCAGCAGUUCAAGACAGGGCAAUUGAGCAAAGGACGGGAAAUAUUUGAAAUUACCACCACUUAUGAAAAUUUUGACGAGAUUUGUGAGCAAAGGAAGCCAACUUGGAAACUUGGCAUCACCCCUCCAUCCUCGAAUACAGAGCUCCUUUAGAUUAGGAUGGGGUUGGAGGUCUUCAAGUGAUUUAUCAUCAUCAUAUUCAUCAUCGUUAAAAUCAAAAUAAAAGCUCCAUUGUAAAACCAACGAUCUCAAAUGUUGCUUCUCAUUCAAAUUAGCAGCCUUAAACUUCUCUUUUGCAUUUUUUACGAAUCCCAAAUUUGCUAUUUCUAGAUGUCCCCUUAAGUUGUUAAGCAGUCUCAAUUCACUUAGAUCUGCACCGCCAUGGGACCCAUCUUUAUCCACUACAAACAUGCUUAACGUCUCAAGUGAAGUCAGCUUCCCUAUUCCACGUGGCAUAUGAGUUAAACUAAAACAAGCGUCACACCCAAUAUGGGUAAGCUUCACCAAUUUUUCAACCUUCUUUGGCAAUUCUUGAAGCCCACAACACCAGUCAAGUUUCAGCGCUAGCAAAUUCUGAAUCUUGCAAAUACUCUUUGGGAGAAUCUUGAUAUUGUAAUUGGAAGAAAGAUCAAGGUGCCUCAAAUGUUUCAACUUGUAAAUGGAGGGUGAAAUCAUCUGAAUACCUAACGAAUGCAAAUCCAAUACACGCAAGCAUCUACAAUUUGCAAUUAUCAAAUCCCAAGUUUCAUAGCUGAAAUCAUCACUCAAUUUUUGAUCUAUGUUGUCUUGAAAAUGUAACAAGGUUCGCAACUUCUUUCCCUUAAACAAAGGAAUUAAUGAAGGUUUAAUUGAUAUGUGGCGACAUUUUUCACCAACAUCACUUGCAAUUCUAUUUGAAUCUACAAUACUACUCUCCAUCCCUGCUACUGAUUCAGCUAGAUCAUGCAUUAAAUCAUGCAUUUUACAUGUUAGCCCUUCCCAUGAAUAUCUUUCUCCUACUUCUUGGAAGAAACUUCUUUCAACUAAAUCUUUAAAAUACCCAAACCCAAUCUCCUCCAGAGAUUGACUUUGAUUCAAUUGCUUUAUGAAACCCUGUGCAAUCCAAAAUUGAACAAGCGCUUGUACUUCAAUUCUGUAAUCUUUUGGAUACAAUCGGCAAUAAGCAAAGCAAUGCUUCAAAUGAGACGGGAGAUGAUCAUAACUCAAUUUCAGCAUAGGUAGAAGUUCUCCUUCAAUUUGUGAUAUUUUAGCAAGUUCAUUUUCUUUGAAAGAAUGCCACUCAUUUGCAGUUUUCUUCAAAGAUAAUGUACCAGCUAUCGUCCUUAUGGCUAAGGGAACCCCACCACACCUUUCCGAAAUCUGUC